RNAcentral lists this long non-coding RNA (50083 nucleotides) under Triticum aestivum (bread wheat). RNAcentral's name for it is "long non-coding RNA (TAES_LNC002688)". The record is from RNAcentral. Lineage: Eukaryota; Viridiplantae; Streptophyta; Magnoliopsida; Poales; Poaceae.
UUGUGUAUUGUUCUUUACUGUCAAGUCUGAAGUUAGUGUUUCUUGAGUGAGCUGCGGAAGCUACUACCGUCUGUUAUCUGCUCCAUCUAUGCGCUGACGAACAAGUUAAUUAGGUGGCUGGUGUGUGCUUGUCGACCGCCAUGGCGGACGACUCAUCGUCCCCGACAUCUUACAUUCCUUCGUAAAUAAGUUUGGUCAUCUUUUGGUGCAUGCGAUGGUCUUGUGGACCGUUGUGUUUGUUGUUUGUGAUUCAGGCCAUCACUAGCUACUGUGAUAUGUUGUGCAAACUACUGUCUGAUUGUCCUCGCCUUUUGUAAGAGUGCCCUUCUCUAAGAAUUAUGUAACAUUUUUUAUGUUGACUACAUAUUAGUUACACUGAUGCACUUUCGGUUCUGAAGCUUUAGCGGAACUAUAUGGUUUGCUUCUGAUAUCUAAUAACCCAACUAUAGUACUUGCUGAGGACCCAUCGUCUUGGCUUAAUUCUGCAACCAAUUAUAUAUUUAUAUUUCCACUUUGGCAUGAACUUCCACAUCAACUGUUCUAUUGUGCAUCCUGCUUCCUUUGCUUUUGUUAUAUCCAAUUUUACUGCCCCUUUGUAUUGCUUUGAGAAAAUGUUCCAGGCUAUUGGUUUAAUUUAGUGGGUUGAACUAUCAAAAGCAAUCAUUAUAAUUCUCAUUUGCCAAAUGUACUAGGUUGAUCCAUCCCAAACAAUAAUUCUAAUUUCCAUUUGGUGACAUUAAAUGCUUUGUUUAAGCGCUUGAAUAGUACGUUGAGCCAGGCACCCUCGCGCCUUGGCGCAUUGCCGAUCUAGUCAUCUCAUUAACUCGAGUCAUCUAGGGAGCAAGCAUAGGUUUGCACUAUUUUUCGUACUUGUAUAUUGGGCCGUAUACCUAAAAAAAGACUGACACAUGCGAAUCGUUAAGCACAUUCCCGCGAGGGGGAGGAUACUCUGCCUGACGCUCGGCCUCUGCGAAAGAUUUUUUUUUCUUUUGCCACGACCUGGAGGGAGACCCGGACGUGAAUUGGUCAAACUAACCUUGACCCGGAGAACUGCCCACGAUCCAUGGUUCUUUUGGCUCCGCCUCCAACACCAACCCGUCAGCCGCCAAUGAAUCGCCCUCGCCGGCCGUUGUCGACCGGUCGCCUUGGCUUUGAUUCCGCCUCGCCGCGGGCAUUCUUCAGCCGCGGCCGCAUCAAGUUACCGGUGGUGUUGAGUUCGUUUGGCUAUUAAGCCGCCCGCAUCCACUGCUUACGUUCACCGCCGCGCCGGGAGUCACUUCACUUUCGCCGGCGUGCUAACCACUUCCGGGCAGACCCCUACGGCCGUGACCCUGUGCUGCCGCGCGUGAAGUCGCCCCUGUAGUUGUGCGGCCCGCCUCUUCAGCCGCCGUCCAGUUCUCCUUGCCGCCGCGGUGAGCUGUUGCUCGAGAACCGCUCCUACCUCACUCUGUCAUGGCCCGUGUUAGACUAUGUAUAGCUUCUGUACUUAUGUACGUAUAUUGUACGUAUUGUAACACAUCCAUUAUAUAUAAUGAGAUAAGCCACCCCUAGAGGGUUGUGCUGGUUCCCCCAAAUCUUAUUGUCUUACAUGGUAUCACGCUAGGUUACGAUCGCUUCCACUUCCAAACCCUAAUACCCGCACCGCCGCCGCAGCCGCCGCCGCCUUCACCGCCGCCAUGACGAGCGCCGCCACCAUCGGUUCCACUGCUGCGGGGUUCUUCCCGGCCUAUCUUGCGGCUCUGCUCAACCUCCCGCUCGAUGUCGUCGCCGUUCCGGCUCCGAUUGGGACCAGGAGCAUCGGCUCCGUCUACUCCACGCCGCCGGCGCCCUCGCUUGGGCGCGACCUCGUGGUCCACACCGCGGCGCCGCCGUCCGCUGCGGACUCCGCGGGCGUCGUCCCGCCGCUCCUGCCGCAAGCAGAUCACACCGCCCCGCUGGCGGGGUUGGCGGCGUCCGCCCCGGCCGCGGGCCUUGCGGCGUCCGACCCGGCCGCGAGCUUUGCGGCGUCCGCCCUGGCUGCGGUCCCGCCUCCUCCCGCAUCGGUUUCGGUGCCUCCGGCUGCCUCCAUGGUGUUUGCACCCCAGGCAGCCCCCUCGAUGGGAUCGUCUUCGCCGCCGCCGUUUCACUUCGGUCAUCUCAUCACCAUCAAGCUCUCCGCCGACAACUACAUCUUCUGGCGUGCGCAGGUUCUCCCGCUCUUGGGGAGUCACUACCUGCUAGGCUACGUCGACGGAUCGCUUCCCUGCCCACCCGCACUGGUAGACAGCGUGCACGGUCCGGUCUACAAUCCGGCCCGUCGCGUCUGGACGGGGCAGGACCAGGCGAACCUCUCCUCCAUCCAGGGGUCGCUCUCGCCGGCAGUUGCCGGACUUGUUGUCUUCGCGAAGACGUCUCAUGAGGCCUGGACCAUCCUUGAGCGAACCUUUGCAGCGCAGUCCCAGGCUCGUGUCUCUGCACUCCGUCGUCAGCUUGGAGAGUGUCAGAAGUUUGACUCCACUGCCACUGAGUUCUACAACAAGGUCAAGGGCCUCGCCGACACAUUGGCCUCCAUUGGACAGCCCCUCACCGACUCUGAGUUCAACUCGUUUAUUGUCAAUGGUCUUGAUGAGGAGUAUGAUGCCUUAGUCGAGAUCAUCAACAAGCGGGGCAACUCGACACCCAUGCUGGCACACGAGGUUUUCUCUCGGCUCCUUCUCACUAAGCAACGGGUCGAGACACGCCGCUCCACGGGCACUGGCUCCCUCUCGGCCAACGCCGCCACCAAGGGUGGCCGCUCUUCUUCAUCACCCCGGUCUCCCUUGGGGCUGCCACCGUCGCCCGCCUCGGCCAACCCACCUACUGCGACCUUACCGGGGGCUGGCGGUCCACGUGUGUGCCAGCUUUGUGGCCGCGAUGGGCACUGGGCCUCCAAGUGUCAUAAGCGCUUCCAGCGAAGCUUCCUUGGUCCUGGCAAUGACGGCAAAGAUACACGCAACAAUGCCCGUCAGGUCGCCAUGGCUGAUCGUCCCGCGCCGCAGAAGCAACAGGGACACACUCAGUCCUACUCCAUCGAUCCACACUGGUACAUGGACUCUGGGGCGAUAGAGCAUCUGACCAGCGAGAUGGGGAAGCUUCACACUCGUGAACCCUAUCAUGGCUCCGACAAGAUCCACACCGCCAAUGGAGCAGGUAUGCACAUCUCUCAUAUUGGUCAAGCAUCUCUUCUCACUAGACAUGCCAAUAGGAGUCUUCAGCUUCGCAAUGUUCUUCGAGUUCCAUCUGUGACCCGUAAUCUUCUUUCAGUUCCUAAACUCACACGUGAUAAUAAUGUGAUUUGUGAAUUUCACCCUUUUGAUCUUUUUAUUAAGGAUCGGGGCACGAGGGACAUUCUUCUUAGUGGGCGGUUGUGCCAGGGCCUCUACCGUCUGGAGCAUCCUGGCGUCGCCCGUGUUUUCGGUGGAGUUCGGGUCUCUCCGUCACAGUGGCAUGCUCGUCUUGGUCACCCGGCCACACCUAUUGUCCGUCAUAUUUUGCGUCGUCAUGAGCUUCCUAGUUUGUCUAGCAAUAAAGAUGUAGCAGUGUGUGAUGCUUGUCAGCAGGGGAAGAGUCAUCAACUUCCUUUUUCGGAGUCUAGCCGUGAGGUGAAACAUCCUUUAGAACUUGUGUUUUCAGAUGUAUGGGGUCCUGCUCAGACUUCUGUCAGUGGUCAUAAUUACUAUAUCAGUUUCGUUGAUGCUUAUAGUCGCUUUACCUGGCUUUACCUUAUUAAACGCAAAUCUGAUGUGUUUGAUAUUUUUGUUCAGUUUCAAAAACAUGUUGAACGUCUUCUCAAGCACAAAAUUGUUCAUGUCCAGUCGGACUGGGGGGGCGAGUAUCGCAACCUCAACUCCUUCUUUCAGUCGCUUGGGAUAGCUCAUCGUUUAGCAUGUCCACAUACACAUCAGCAGAAUGGUUCAGUCGAACGUAAGCAUCGUCAUAUUGUUGAAGCUGGUCUUACUCUUUUGGCCCAUGCAUCUGUUCCGUUUCAGUUUUGGAAUGAUGCUUUCACCACUGCAUGCUUUCUCAUCAACCGUACUCCCACUCGUGUUUUAAACAUGAAGAUUCCCAUUGAGGUUCUCCUUAAUGAACAACCUGAUUAUACCUUUUUCAAGGUAUUUGGGUGUGCUUGCUGGCCGCAUCUUCGUCCAUAUAAUAAGCGCAAGCUUGAGUUUCGUUCUAAGAAGUGUGUUUUUCUUGGCUAUAGAUCUCUUCAUAAAGGUUACAAAUGUCUUCAUGUUCCCACUAAUCGUGUCUAUAUAUCUCGGGACGUCGUGUUUGAUGAGCAUGUUUUUCCCUUUGCCAAACUUCCUGUGUCCACUGUCGAACCACCAUCUCUGCAUUCAUCCUCUGUUGCUUCUGACCAAUUUGAUGAUGUUGCAUACUCUCCUUUGCUGUUACCUAACCAUGGUGCAGGAACCGGACGUGGGGCUCGUUUGGAGCUGUUGGAGGAUUCACCAUCAUCAUCGCCGCCUUUUGAUGGGCACGUCGAUCGCCCUAUGUUGCAUGACAUCGAUUCGCGUGCCCAUGCAUGGUCACCCAAAGAGCCCGUCGCGCCGAGCAUCUCCACUGCUCGGUCCGCUACGCCAGCGACCGCCGAGUCUCCAGCGGCUCGGCCCUCUUCGCCAGCGGCCGCCGAGUCUUCAGCGGCUCGGCCUGUCACGCCGUCUUCGUCCGUGGCUCGGCCUGUCACGCCGUCUUCGCCUGCAGCUCGGGUCCGCGACGCCGUCCUCACGUCACCUUCAUCCACGGAUCGGCCCGCGACACCGGCCGUGCCACGGCCCACUAUGCCGGGCUCGCCAUCGGCCCGGUCUGUGACGCCAGCGUCGCCAGCUGCUUCGUCUGCUCUGCCGGUUUCGCCAGUGGGCCGGCCUUCUUCGCUGACCGAGCCCGAGGCUACUGUGUCUGGCUCCUCGUCACCGGCUGACUCGUCAACGUCGCCGUCCUCCAGCCCGUUGCAGGCUGCUCCGUCAACCUCGGUGGUUCCUGUGUCCCGACCACAUACACGCAGUCGCAGUGGCAUUUUCAAACCUAAGGAACGUAAGGAUGGUACGGUUGCUUGGUUGGCUGCUUGUUUGGCUGCUGCUGUUGCGGAUCCAUCUUCUGAGCCUCGCUCAUAUCAGGCUGCCCUGCGCAUUCCACAUUGGCGAGAGGCUAUGGAGCAGGAGUUUCAUGCUCUCCUUCGUAACAAGACAUGGACUCUCGUUCCUCCACCACCACGGGUAAAUGUUAUUGACUCAAAAUGGGUAUUCAAAGUGAAGAAGCAUUCGGAUGGAUCUAUUGAGCGUUACAAAGCGCGACUUGUUGCUCGCGGUUUUCGGCAGCGCCAUGGUCUUGACUAUGAGGACACCUUCAGUCCUGUCGUCAAGCCUACCACUAUUCGGCUUCUUCUCUCCAUUGUUGUUUCUCGUGGUUGGUCACUUCGUCAACUUGAUGUGCAGAAUACUUUUCUACAUGGAUUUUUGGAGGAAGAGGUUUAUAUGAAACAGCCGCCUGGUUUCUCUAAUCCUGAUCGUCCUGACUAUAUCUGUCGUCUCUCCAAAGCACUAUAUGGUUUGAAGCAAGCUCCUCGUGCCUGGCAUGCCCGCCUUGCCUCUGCCCUUCGUGCUCAUGGGUUUGUGCCGUCCACUGCUGACACUUCAUUAUUUCUUCUACAGAAGCCAGAAGUCACUAUGUAUCUUUUGGUAUAUGUCGAUGAUAUUAUCCUUGUCAGCUCUUCUCAGUAUGCUGCUGAUGCUCUUGUCUGCUCUCUUGGUGCUGAUUUUGCGGUCAAAGAUCUUGGGAAGCUUCACUACUUUCUUGGAGUUGAGGUCAUUUCUCGUGCUACUGGUCUUGUCCUUACGCAGAAGAAGUACUCCUUGGAGUUGUUACAAAGAGCGGGCAUGCUGAAGUGCAAACCGACCACCACACCCAUGUCGUCUACCGACAAGAUAACAGCUGUUGAUGGUGAGCUUUUGUCUCCUGCGGAUGCCACAGAGUACAGGAGCAUUGUUGGUGGACUUCAGUACUUGACGAUCACGAGACCAGAUAUCUCUUAUGCUGUUAACAGGGUUUGUCAGUAUCUUCAGGCUCCCAGAGAUACUCAUUGGGCUGCUAUUAAACGCAUUCUUCGUUAUGUUCAAUUCACCCUGACAUUUGGUAUGCAUAUUCGGCCGACUUCCUCUCGGGUCCUUUCGGCCUUCUCUGAUGCAGAUUGGGCUGGUAGCCCAGAUGACAGGCGAUCCACGGGGGGUUAUGCAGUAUUCUUUGGCCCUAAUUUGAUCGCCUGGAGUGCUCGGAAACAGGCUACUGUGUCACGUAGCAGUACUGAAGCUGAGUACAAGGCUGUGGCUAAUGCUACUGCAUAGAUUAUUUGGGUGCAGUCUUUGCUUCAGGAGUUGGGUUUGUCUCAACCACAGCCUCCUAUUCUUUGGUGUGAUAACAUCGGUGCUACAUACCUUUUUGCAAAUCCAGUAUUUCAUGCCCGAACGAAACACAUUGAAGUUGACUAUCACUUUGUACGGGAACGUGUAUCACAGAAGCAACUCCAGAUCAAGUUUAUCUCAUCUAAGGAUCAACUUGCAGACAUCUUCACUAAGCCUUUACCUCUGCCACAGUUUGAGGCUUGUAGGCGCAAUCUUACCCUUCUUAGUUCUUUAGAAAGUGGCUAAGAUUGAGGGAGGGUGUUAGACUAUGUAUAGCUUCUGUACUUAUGUACGUAUAUUGUACGUAUUGUAACACAUCCAUUAUAUAUAAUGAGAUAAGCCACCCCUAGAGGGUUGUGCUGGUUCCCCCAAAUCUUAUUGUCUUACAGCCCGCCAUUGGCCUCAGUUGCUCGUUUCCGCAGAGUAGCCAUGAGCCGCCGUAUCUUCUCUCGGCCCCCGCAGAGAGCCGCCCUGCGCCUCUGGCCUCCAUCCAUUGAGCCGCCACGGGUCGACCGUCCGAGCUGCAGCUGCUGCCGCCGGCUCACCUCUGCGUCGAGUCGCGCCUCGCCGUUGAGCCGCCUGCGUCAACCGCCAAGGGUCGCCUGCGCUGCUUCCGCGGCCUCGCCAAGUUGCCACUGCUGUCAUGGCCUUCACCCUGAGCCGCCAGUGCGCCUCCGUGGCGUCAUGCCGCCUCAUCCGCGGACGCGCCAAUCCGCCGUCGCUUCUCGCGGCCCCGCCUUGGUCGCAGCAAGCUGCACCGGCCUCGCGCACUCCUCCGACGUGGUGUCGGUGAGCCGCCAUCGCCUCUGAGGGGCCCCUGCGGCCAUCGUCAACUCGCGCACCUGCUGAGCCGCCCUGGCCUCUGCUCCAAGCCGCAGCCUCGAGUCACCGCCGACCGUUUUGAACCGGCCACGCCUCCACCUAACCACGCGAGUUCGCGGUGCGCCAAGCCGCCGUGCAUGAUUCUGAGCCGCCGCGUCCUCAACUCACCUUCAAGAUGGUACACAGCAAGAAGAAGUCAUAGCCGGACGAGCCGCGUUGUCUGCGAGUGUUCCAAAUUCUUUCUUAAGUUCAGCAGCUCCUCUUGCGAAGAAAAAGCUGCCUUCGGAUGGAUAUCUAAGGUUGAAGCAGAUCUGAUGUUAUAAGUUAAACGGCGAAAAGGAUUGAAAGAAAUCUACGCAACCGUGUGUAUGCAUCACGGUAUGAUGGAUGAUGGGCAUGCACCUCCAAGCUUGAUGGAUGAUGGGCACUGUUUGGACGUGGAGUCACAGUUCAACAAUUUGAAAUUUUCCCCGGAUCAGUACGCCCAGUGAAAAAUGAUCCGGUGAAGACCGCACCAAACGUCCGCUCCUUACUAAGCCGUAACCUUGGUAUUUAAGCCGCCGUUUCCGUUGCUGCGGUCGUGAGUCGGCCACACCUCUGCUACUACAGUCAACAGCUGCGGCCCGCGACCGCUGCUUCUACGACCCUCCUCCGGGCUGCCCCGUGCAUCAAGGCUUUGUCGCCUAAACCGCCGUGGCUUGCCUGAGCCGCCUCCUCUGCUUCGACCCGCCACUGCCGUGCGUUGCUGCCGCGCUAUCGAGCCGCCGGCUUUUUCACUCCCUGAGCCGUCGUCCUGCUUCACCUCCGAGCCGCCGUGGGAUCUCGCCCCGCCGCAGGCCUUCGCACCAGCAGCUGCGUUGGACCGCCCAGUCGCCGGCUCCAUACCGCCUGUUCUGCCGCCGCUGUGGCUUCGCCCGGCCUUCUGAGCCGCCCAAUCGCCAGCUCCGACCCACCUUGAGCGUGGCUGCGUUGUUGCUGCUGUGGCAUGCCGUAUAAGCUGCCGGUUGCGGCUGUUGCUCCCCUACGAGUCGCUCCCGCCUUGUCGCCGCACAGCUGCGCCUGAGCCGCCCGCGGCACACAUCCACCCUCGCGGCUGCGCUAAGCCGCCUCGCGCCGGUGACUCCGUUGCCCCGGGCACCCGCUCCCCUACAAUUUUUGACCUGCGGUUCCAUCGCUUUUCCAGCAAUCCGCUGAGACGCCUCUGUUGAGCCGCCCCGUGCGACUCCGCCGCAGAGCCGCCGAGCACUACCUCUGCAUCACGCAGACAUUAAAAUCGCCUCUGCGGCCGACGGGCCGGGAGACAACGGCGGGGGGUAUAUGAUCAAGGAUUUGACAACAAGGGAGGUCACCGUCGUCGAGGGGCUCGCAUCACCCGCUCCACGUCUGUGCCAGCGGCCCGUGAGCCGGCCCUUGCAGCGGCCUCGCUCGCCAGAUGCCCGCCUUCGCCAUCGCCGGGUGGCCUCCCCUCCGCCUGAGCCGCCCCGUCGAGCCCCCUGCGCCGUGAGCCGCCACGGCCUCGCGUUUGUUUUUGUCGCAGUUUCCUGAAAUCGCUGCGCCGGCUCUCUCCGUUGCUGCGCCCCCAUAGUGUGUUGCCUUAGGGCAUCUCCAGCCGUUCGGCCCCCCAGGACGCGUAUAUAGAGCGGCCUGGGGGCGUGACAGCGCAAGUUCGGCCCCUGGGGGCGACCUAGCGCCCAGUCACGCCCCCACGCGCCGGCCCCAGGCGUAGGAAUUUUAAACUUGGUCGUUUCCCGCUCACAAAAGACGCUGCAAUCCGGCGAUCGAACGUAGUCUGGGCGUUUACAAAAAGCAGAGUUCGUGUGCACAAUGUUUCAUCACUCGGCGGGGUCGGCUCCAGGCGUUGUCGGUGUCGGGGCUGCUUCCGUGCUGGGCUGUGUCUCCGCGGCUUCGGCACUGCUGGGCGACGUAGAGGCGUCGUCUGGGCUUGGCGUCCGGGUGGUCGUCGGCGUCGUCGGCGUCGUCGGCGUAGGCGUUACCGCCGGCAGCUCGUUCAGGAUGAGGCCGCGCUGCACCAGGUACCACGCCUUGAGCUUCUCAUCGGUGCUCUGGAGCAUGUCUGCCCCGCUCAUCAGAAAAGCCAUGUCGGUGUUCCUCUUCUUCGCGGCGACGUUCGUCCGGAGCAGGUCGAGUUUGAUGGCGUUGUUCUUCAUCAGCGACGACCACCACGCCUCGGUCUUCUCUUCGCACAGGACGGCCCGGGCCUUCGCGUCGGCGAGGCAAUGCUCGAUGGACUCCUGUACUCGCGCGGUUGCCGCGUCGGUGUUUUUCCCCUUCUUCGCCAACUUGUUGCCGUCCGGCCGCCCCUCUGACGCGCCCGGAGUCGGCGCGUCCAGCUUGUACGUCUCCUUGGCCUUGUCCAGGGCACGCCGGACUUCCGUCCACUUCUCGCAUUUGUCAAUGCGCUUGUAGACGUGGAGGUGCUUGAAGUCGGCGUCUUGGUUGUCGCCCCGAUACAUGGCGAACAUACGCAGCAGCUGCGCGGAGAGACGAACAGUUCACGGGCGGCGGGCGUAGGAGGACGAAGAUAUGCGGGCGAACGGUGGGCGUACCCGAUCCUCAACGCUGGCGCCGCUCUCCGGGCGCGCCGCGACCUCCUCGACGAUUCCAUGCCAUUUGUUGCAUGCCAACUGGAUACGCCCCCAAUGGUUCGCCAUCGCCUUCGCUCCGCGCUGCAUGUAGACGCCUUUGAAGUAGGGGUCGACGAGCUUCCGCUCGUCGAACUCGGCCUUGAUGUGGUCCCAGUACGUCUCCAAGCUCUGAUUCGUGCCGGUGGUCGGGUCGAGGCAGACGACUUUCCAUGCUUCGGCGAGGCAUUCCUCCUCCUUGGACGUCCACUUGAUGCGCGGUUCGCCCGGCCUAGCCGCCCGCCGUUUCUUCUUCUGGCGCCCCUUCGCCGGAACAGGAGCCGGCUCCUCCUCCUCCUCGUCCUCCUCCUCCUCCUCCUCCUCGGGUUCCUGCCCGUCGUCGCCGUAGACGUAGCCGAGCUCGGCCUCCAUGUCGCCGCUGAGAUCCACUACCUCGUCCUGGGUGGCGAAUCCGGGAGACGAGGCGGCCGCGGUCGAUCCUGUCGCGAUGAUGUCGUCCAUGUCGGCUCCCGUGUCGUCGGCGUCGCCGAGAUGCGAGAAGGGUAGCGGACCGCGGUAGAGAUGGGGCGUCGGGGUGGACGCGUAGGCGGCAGGCGGCGAGUAGGUGUAUGGAGGGUACUGGACGUCGACGAAGGCGGGCGAGGGCGUGCGCGCGCCGGGGUGACCAUGAGGGAAGGUCACGUUUGGGUUGAACCUGUUGGAGAACGUUGCAGAAAACAAAAAUUUUCCUACUCGUUUCACCAAGAUCAUCUAGGAGUUCAUCUAGCAACGAGUGAUUAGAUGCAUCUACAUACCUUUGUAGAUCGCGCACGGAAGCGUUCAAAAGAACGGUGAUGAUGUAGUCGUACUCCACGUGAUCCAAAUCACCGAUGACCAGCGCCAAACGGACGGCACCUCCGCGUUCAACACACGUACGGGACGGGAGACGUCUCCUCCUUCUUGAUCCAGCAAGGGGGAAGGAGAGGUUGAUGAAGAUCCAGCAGCACGACGGCGUGGUGGUGGAUGCAGGGCGUCACAGCAGCAGGGCUUCGCCGAGACUACGAGGGAGAGACGUAACGGGGGGAGAUGGAGGCGCCAGGCGCUGGUCUGAAAUCCCUCCUCUCCCCCCACUAUAUAUAGGGGUGCCAGGGGGGGCGCCGGCCCUAGUAGAUGAGAUCUACUAGGGGGGGUGGCGGCCAAGGGGAGGUUUCCCUCCCCCAAGGCACCUAGGGGUGCCUUCCACCACUAGGACUCCUCCUUGGUGGAAACCCUAGGCGCAUGGGCCUAUAGGGGCUGGUGCCCUUGGCCCAUCUAGGCCAAGGCGCACCCCCUACAGCCCAUGUGCCCCCCCGGGACAGGUGGCCCCACCCGGUGGACCCCCGGGACCCUUCCGGUGGUCCCGGUACAAUACCGAUAACCCCGAAACUUGUCCCGAUGCCCGAAAUAGCACUUCCUAUAUAUAAUUCUUUACCUCCGGACCAUUCCGGAACUCCUCGUGACGUCCGGGAUCUCAUCCGGGACUCCGAACAACAUUCGGGUUUCUGCAUAUACAUAUCUUCAUAACCCUAGCGUCACCGAACCUUAAGUGUGUAGACCCUACGGGUUCGGGAGACAAGCAGACAUGACCGAGACGACUCUCCGGUCAAUAACCAACAGCGGGAUCUGGAUACCCAUGUUGGCUCCCACAUGCUCCACGAUGAUCUCAUCGGAUGAACCACGAUGUCGAGGAUUUAAUCAAUCCCGUACGCUAUUCCCUUUGUCUAUCGAUAUGUUACUUGCCCGAGAUUUCAUCGUCGGUAUCCCAAUACCUCGUUCAAUCUCGUUACCGGCAAGUCACUUUACUUGUACCGUAAUGCAUGAUCCCGUGACCAGACACUUGGUCACUCUGAGCUCAUUAUGAUGAUGCAUUACCGAGUGGGCCCAGUGAUACCUCUCCGUCAUACGGAGUGACAAAUCCCAGUCUUGAUCCAUGUCACCCAACAGACACUUUCGGAGAUACCCGUAGUCUACCUUUAUAGUCACCCAGUUACGUUGUGACGUUUGGCAUACCCAAAGCACUCCUACGGUAUCCGGGAGUCACACGAUCUCAUGGUCAAAGGAAUAGAUACUUGACAUUAGAAAACUCUAGCAAACGAACUAUACGAUCUUGUGCUAUGUUUAGGAUUGGGUCUUGUCCAUCACAUCAUUCUCCCAAUGAUGUGAUCUCGUUAUCAAUGACAUCCAGUGUCCAUAGUCAGGAAACCAUGACUAUCUGUUGAUCAACGAGCUAGUCAACUAGAGGCUCACUAGGGACAUGUUGGUGUCUGUUAUUCACACAUGUAUUACGAUUUCCGGAUAACACAAUUAUAGCAUGAAUAAAUACAAUUAUCAUGAACAAGGAAAUAUAAUAAUAAUGCUUUUAUUAUUGCCUCUAGGGCAUAUUUCCAACAGUCUCCCACUUGCACUAGAGUCAAUAAUCUAGUUACAUUGUGAUGAAUCGAACACCCAUGGAAUUCUGGUGUUGAUCAUGUUUUGCUCUAGGGAGAGGUUUAGUCAACGGAUCUGCUAUAUUCAGGUCCGUAUGUACUUUACAAAUCUCUAUGUCUCCAUCUUGAACAUUCUCACGAAUGGAGUUGAAGCGACGCUUGAUGUGCCUUGUCUUCUUGUGAAACCUGGGCUCCUUGGCAAGUGCAAUAGCUCCAGUGUUGUCACAGAAGAGCUUGAUCGGCCCCGACGCAUUGGGUAUGACUCCUAGGUCGGUGAUGAACUCCUUCACCCAUAUUGCUUCAUGUGCUGCCUCAGAGGCUGCCAUGUACUCCGCUUCACAUGUAGAUCCCGCCACGACGCUUUGCUUACAACUGCACCAGCUUACUGCCCCACCAUUCAAAAUAUACACGUAUCCGGUUUGUGACUUAGAGUCAUCCAGAUCUGUGUCGAAGCUAGCGUCGACGUAACCCUUUACGACGAGCUCUUCGUCACCUCCAUAAACGAGAAACAUUUCUUUAGUCCUUUUCAGGUACUUCAGGAUAUUCUUGACCGAUGUCCAGUGUUCCUUGCUGGGAUUACUUUGGUACCUUCCUACCAAACUGACGGCAAGGUUAACAUCAGGUCUGGUACACAGCAUGGCAUACAUAAUAGAACCUAUGGCUGAGGCAUAGGGGAUGACGCUCAUCUCUUCUAUAUCUUCUGCCGUGGUCGGACAUUGAGCUGAGCUCAAUUUCAUACCUUGUAACACAGGUAAGAACCCCUUCUUGGAUUGAUCCAUAUUGAACUUCUUCAAUAUCUUAUCAAGGUAUGUGCUUUGUGAAAGACCUAUGAGGCGUCUCGAUCUAUCUCUAUAGAUUUUGAUGCCUAAUAUAUAAGCAGCUUCUCCAAGGUCCUUCAUUGAAAAACUUUUAUUCAAGUAGGCCUUGAUGCUGUCCAAGAGUUCUAUAUCAUUUCCCAUCAAAAGUAUGUCAUCUACAUAUAAUAUGAGAAAUGCUACAGAGCUCCCACUCACUUUCUUGUAAACGCAGGCUUCUCCAUAAGUCUGUGUAAACCCAAACGCUUUGAUCAUCUCAUCAAAGCGAAUGUUCCAACUCCGAGAUGCUUGCACCAGCCCAUAAAUCGAGCGUUGGAGCUUGCACACUUUGUCAGCAUUCUUAGGAUCGACAAAACCUUCCGGUUGCAUCAUAUACAAUUCUUCCUUAAGGAAACCAUUAAGGAAUGCCGUUUUGACGUCCAUUUGCCAUAUUUCGUAAUCAUAGAAUGCGGCAAUUGCUAACAUGAUUCGGACGGACUUCAGCUUCGCUACCGGUGAGAAAGUCUCAUCGUAGUCAACCCCUUGAACUUGUCGAUAACCCUUAGCGACAAGCCGAGCUUUAUAGAUGGUCACAUUACCAUCCGCGUCUGUCUUCCUCUUAAAGAUCCAUUUAUUUUCUAUGGCUCGCCGCUCAACGGGCAAGUCAGUCAAAGUCCAUACUUUGUUUUCAUACAUGGAUCCUAUCUCGGAUUUCAUGGCUUCUAGCCAUUUGUCGGAAUCCGGGCCCGCCAUCGCUUCUUCAUAGUUCGAAGGUUCACCGUUGUCUAACAGCAUGAUUUCCAAGACAGGGUUGCCGUACCACUCUGGUGCGGAACGUGUCCUUGUGGACCUUCGAAUUUCAGUAGGGGCUUGAUCAGAAGUAUCUUAAUCAUUGUCAUUAACUUCCUCUCUAGUCGGUGCAGGCACCUCAGGAACAUUUUCUUGAGUUGCGCCAUUUUCCGGUUCAAGAGGUAAUACUUCAUCAAGCUCUACUUUCCUCCCACUUACUUCUUUCGAGAGAAACUCUUUCUCCAGAAAGGACCCAUUCUUGGCAACAAAGAUCUUGCCUUCGGAUCUGAGGUAGAAGGUGUACCCAAUAGUUUCUUUUGGGUAUCCUAUGAAGACGCAUUUUUCCGACUUGGGUUCGAGCUUUUCAGGUUGAAGUUUCUUGACAUAAGCAUCGCAUCCCCAAACUUUUAGAAACGACAGCUUAGGUUUCUUCCCAAACCAUAAUUCAUACGGUGUCGUCUCAACGGAUUUCGACGGAGCCCUAUUUAAAGUGAAUGCGGCAGUCUCUAAAGCAUAGCCCCAAAAGGAUAGCGGUAAAUCGGUAAGAGACAUCAUAGAUCGCACCAUAUCUAAUAGAGUGCGAUUACGACGUUCGGACACACCAUUACGCUGAGGUGUUCCAGGUGGCGUGAGUUGUUAAACUAUUCCACAUUUUCUUAAGUGUGUGCCAAACUCGUGACUCAAGUAUUCUCCUCCACGAUCUGAUCGUAGAAACUUGAUUUUCCUGUCACGUUGAUUUUCAACCUCACUCUUAAAUUCCUUGAACUUUUCAAAGGUUUCAGACUUGUGUUUCAUUAAGUAGAUAUACCCAUACCUACUUAAAUCAUCAGUGAGGGUGAGAACAUAACGAUAGCCACCGCGAGCCUCAACACUCAUUGGACCGCACACAUCAGUAUGUAUGAUUUCCAAUAAGUCGGUUGCUCGCUCCAUUGUUCCUGAGAACGGAGUCUUGGUCAUUUUACCCAUAAGGCAUGGUUCGCAUGUGUCAAAUGAUUCAUAAUCAAGAGACUCUAAAAGUCCAUCAGCAUGGAGCUUCUUCAUGCGUUUGACACCUAUGUGACCAAGGCGGCAGUGCCACAGGUAUGUGGGACUAUCAUUAUCAACCUUACUUCUUUUGGUACUCACAUUAUGAACAUGUGUAGCAUCACGUUCGAGAUUCAUAAAGAAUAAACCAUUCACCAUAGGAGCAUGACCAUAAAACAUAUCUCUCAUAAAAAUGGAACAACCAUUAUUCUUAGAUUUAAAAGAGUAGCCAUCUCGAAUUAAACGAGAUCCCGAUACAAUGUUCAUGCUCAAAGCUGGCACUAAAUAACAAUUAUUAAGGUUUAAAACUAAUCCCGAAGGGAGAUGCAGAGGUAGCGUGCCGACGGCGACCACAUUGACCUUGGAACCAUUCCCGACGCGCAUCGUCACCUCGUCCUUUGCCAGUUUCCGCUUAUUCCGCAGCCCCUGCUUUGAGUUACAAAUGUGAGCAACUGCACCGGUAUCAAAUACCCAGGAGCUACUACGGGCACUAGUAAGGUACACAUCAAUUACAUGUAUAUCACAUAUACCUUUUGUUUUGCCGGCCUUCUUAUCCGCUAAGUACUUAGGGCAGUUCCGCUUCCAGUGACCGCUUCCCUUGCAAUAAAAGCACUCAGUCUCGGGCUUGGGUCCAUUCUUUGGCUUCUUCCCGGCAGCUUGCUUGCCGGGCGCGGCAACCUCCUUGUCGUCCUUCUUGAAGUUCUUUUUACCCUUGCCUUUCUUGAACUUAGUGGUUUUAUUGACCAUCAACACUUGAUGUUCCUUCCUGACUUCUACCUCUGCUGAUUUCAGCAUAGCAAAUACUUCAGGAAUGGUCUUUUCCAUCCCCUGCAUAUUGAAGUUCAUCACAAAGCUCUUGUAGCUUGGUGGAAGCGACCGGAGGAUUCUGUCAAUGACCGCAUCAUCUGGGAGAUUAACUCCCAGCUGAGUCAAGCGGUUAUGCAACCCAGACAUAGUGAGUAUGUGCUCACUGACAGAACUGUUUUCCUCCAUCUUACAGCUAAAGAAUUUGUCGGAAACUUCAUAUCUCUCGACCCGGGCAUGAGCUUGGAAAACCAUUUUCAGCUCUUCGAACAUCUCAUAUGCUCCAUGUCUCUCAAAACGCUUUUGGAGCCCCGGCUCUAGGCUGUAAAGCAUGCCGCACUGAACGAGGGAGUAGUCAUCGGAACGUGCCUGCCAAGCGUUCAUAACAUCUUGUUCUGUAGGGAGAACGGGUGCGUCACCAAGCGGUGCUUGUAGGACAUAAUCUUUCUUGGCAGCUAUGAGGAUGAUCCUCGGGUUCCGGACCCAGUCCGUAUAGUUGCUGCCAUCGUCUUUCAGCUUGGUUUUCUCUAGGAACGCGUUGAAGUUGAGGACUACGUUGGACAUUUAAUCUACAAGACAUAUUGUAAAAUAUUUAGACUAAGUUCAUGAUAAUUAAGUUCAACUAAUCAAAUUAUUAAUGAACUCCCACUUAGAUUAGACAUCCCUCCAGUCAUCUAAGUAUUACAUGAUCCGAGUUUAACUAGACCGUGUCCGAUCAUCACGUGAGACGGACUAGUCAACGUCGGUGAACAUCUUCAUGUUGAUCGUAUCUUCUAUACGACUCAUGAUCGACCUUUCGGUCUUCUGUGUUCCGAGGCCAUGUCUGUACAUGCUAGGCUCGUCAAGUUAACCUAAGUGUUUGCAUGUGUAAAUCUGUCUUACACCCAUUGUAUGUGAACGUCUGAAUAAAACACCCGAUCAUCACAUGGUGUUUUGAAACAGCGAACUGUCGCAACGGUGCACAGUUAGGGGGAACACUUCUUGAAUUUAUUGUGAGGGAUCAUCUUAUUUACUACCGUCGUUCUAAGUAAACAAGAUGCAAAACAUGAUAAACAUCACAUGCAAUCAAAUAAUAAACGUGACAUGAUAUGGCCAAUAUCACAUAGCUCCUUUGAUCUCCAUCUUGGGGCUCCAUGAUCAUCUUGUCACCGGCUUGACACCAUGAUCUCCAUCAUCAUGAUCUCCAUCAUCGUGUCUCCAUGAAGUUGCUCGCCAACUAUUACUUCUACUACUAUGGCUAACGCGUUUAGCAAUAAAGUAAAGUAAUUUACAUGGCGUUUCUCGAUGACACGCAUGUCAUAAAAAGAAUAAAGACAACUCCUAUGGCUCCUGCCGGUUGUCAUACUCAUCGACAUGCAAGUCGUGAAUCCUAUUACAAUAGCAUGAACAUCUCAUACAUCACAUAUAGAUCAUUCAUCAUUCAUAACAACUUUGGCCAUAUCAUAUCACAAACCACUUGCUGCAAAAACAAGUUAGACGUCCUCUAAUUGUUGUUGCAAGUUUUACGUGGCUGAAUUAGGGUUCUAGCAAGAACGUUUUCUUACCUACGUUAAAGCCACAACGUGAUUUGUCAACUUCUAUUUACCCUUCAUAAGGACCCUGUUCAUCGAUUCCGCUCCAACUAAAGUGAGAGAGACAGACACCCGCCAGCCACCUUAUGCAACUAGUGCAUGUUAGUCGGUGGAACCGGUCUCACGUAAGCGUACGUGUAAGGUUGGUCCGGGCCGCUUCAUCCCACAAUACCGCUGAAGCAAGAAAGGACUAGUAACGGCAAGAAAGUUGACAAAUCUACGCCCACAACAAAUUGUGUUCUACUCGCGCAAGAAGAACUACGCAUAGACCUAGCUCUGAUACCACUGUUGGAGAACGUUGCAGAAAACAAACAUUUUCCUACUCGUUUCACCAAGAUCAUCUAGGAGUUCAUCUAGAAAUGAGUGAUUAGAUGCAUCUACAUACCUUUGUAGAUCGCGCACGGAAGCGUUCAAAGAACGGUGAUGAUGUAGUCGUACUCGACGUGAUCCAAAUCACCGAUGACCAGCGCAGAACGGACGGCACCUCCGCGUUCAACACACGUACGGGACGGGAGACGUCUCCUCCUUCUUGAUCCAGCAAGGGGGAAGGAGAGGUUGAUGAAGAUCCAGCAGCACGACGGCAUGGUGGUGGAUGGAGGGCGUCACAGCAGCAGGGCUUCGCCGAGACUACGAGGGAGAGACGUAACGGGGGGAGAUGGAGGCGCCAGGGGCUGGUCUGAAAUCCCUCCUCUCCCCCCACUAUAUAUACGGGUGCCAGGGGGGCGCCGGCCCUAGUAGAUGAGAUCUACUAGGGGGGGGGGGGGCGGCCAAGGGGAGGUUUCCCUCCCCCAAGGCACCUAGGGGUGCCUUCCACCACUAGGACUCCUCCUUGGUGGAAACCCUAGGCGCAUGGGCCUAUAGGGGCUGGUGCCCUUGGCACAUCUAGGCCAAGGCGCACCCCCUACAGCCCAUGUGGCCCCCCGGGACAGGUGGCCCCACCCGGUGGACCCCCGGGACCCUUCCGGUGGUCCCGGUACAAUACCGAUAACCCCGAAACUUGUCCCGAUGCCCGAAAUAACACUUCUUAUAUAUAAUUCUUUACCUCCGGACCAUUUCGAAACUCCCCGUGACGUCCGGAAUCUCAUCCGGGACUCCGAUCAACAUUCGGGUUUCUGCAUAUACAUAUCUUCAUAACCCUAGCGUCACCGAACCUUAAGUGUGUAGACCCUACGGGUUCGGGAGACAAGCAGACAUGACCGAGACGACUCUCCGGUCAAUAACCAACAGCGGGAUCUGGAUACCCAUGUUGGCUCCCACAUGCUCCACGAUGAUCUCAUCGGAUGAACCACGAUGUCGAGGAUUCAAUCAAUCCCGUACGCUAUUCCCUUUGUCUAUCGAUAUGUUACUUGCCCGAGAUUCGAUCGUCGGUAUCCCAAUACCUCGUUCAAUCUCGUUACCGGCAAGUCACUUUACUCGUACCGUAAUGCAUGAUCCAGUGACCAGACACUUGGUCACUCUGAGCUCAUUAUGAUGAUGCAUUACCGAGUGGGCCCAGUGAUACCUCUCCGUCAUACGGAGUGACAAAUCCCAGUCUUGAUCCAUGUCACCCAACAGACACUUUCGGAGAUACCCGUAGUCUACCUUUAUAGUCACCUAGUUACGUUGUGACGUUUGGCAUACCCAAAGCACUCCUACGGUAUCCGGGAGUUACACGAUCUCAUGGUCUAAGGAAAAGAUACUUUGACAUUGGAAAACUCUAGCAAACGAACUAUACGAUCUUGUGCUAUGUUUAGGAUUGGGUCUUGCCCAUCACAUCAUUCUCCCAAUGAUGUGAUCUCGUUAUCAAUGACAUCCAGUGUCCAUAGUCAGGAAACCAUGACUAUCUGUUGAUCAACGAGCUAGUCAACUAGAGGCUCACUAGGGACAUGUUGGUGUCUGUUAUUCACACAUGUAUUACGAUUUCCGGAUAACACAAUUAUAGCAUGAAUAAAGACAAUUAUCAUGAACAAGGAAAUAUAAUAAUAAUGCUUUUAUUAUUGCCUCUAGGGCAUAUUUCCAACAGAACCCACCGUGCGCGUCGCCGUCGGCGUAGCCGGGCGACGAUGAGCCCCACGGAGAUCCGGCGCCUUGCUACCCCCAGGGCGUGUACUGGGCGUGGCUGACGACGGGUGGAUUCAUCCCCGCCUGGUCGGCCGACGAGGAAGCCGCCGCGCGCGCCGCGUUGUCGCGGGCCUUCUUGGCUAUGGCCCUGUUCCGCCUGUCGGCGGUGACUGCUUCUCGCCGCUGCACUUCCACGCUCCACUCGGCGUUUGACAUGCCCGGUGGCUUCGACGGCGGCGCUCUCGGCUUCCGCGGCUUCGGUUGGACCACGGUGCCAGUCGCGGUUGCCGCCGCGCGCGGCAUGGCGUACUUCUUCGGCGGCAUGGCGGCGACUGGAAGGCGAGUGGAGGGUGGCUUGGCGGGAGAAAGGGGGAGAAUGGCGGGAGGAGGGCGAGUGAGCGGGAGAAAAGUCUCAAGGAACGGCGGGAAUAGUCCCUCGGGUCGCCGCCAGGGCGGACCCACGCUCCUUUUUCGUUUGCGCCGACUCCCCAAGCGCCCCCCAGGGCGCCGGGUUCGGCCUGGAUCCGCCGGCGCCAGUUUCGGCCCGAGCCGGCGAAAAACGGGCUUCUGGGGGCGCGACUGGGGCCUUUUUUGGCGCCGGCGCGGCAAAAUCGCCUGGGGAGGGCCUGUUGGGGGCGCGGCUGGAGAUGCCCUUACUCCUGUCAGAGAGAAGAAAGAGAUAAGAGGAGAUUGGAUUGGAUGAAAAGUCAAAGUGGACAAAGUGCUGAAGAAAAAAAUUGCAGAGGGGUAACGUGGUUCGGUCAACACGACCUGUAGGCUGUAGCGUCCGUUUCGAGCCGCCGAGCUCCAGCUCUGCUGCGGUUGCGCUUCAAGCCGCUGCCUUCACCGUCGCCGCUGCGACCUCGCGUGGAGGUGGAGCCACCCCCGCUCGGCCUUAUUCCGAGCCGUCUUUGCCUUAAUAUUUGCGGUCUUGUUCUGAGCCGUUUUCGUUGCUACGACCCGCCACCUCUGCCACAUCCCUGAGAAGGUGGCUAAAUCGCCAUGGAGUUUACUGGAGGUGAUCCACGAACGCGAUGUACAACUCGUCUGUCGUCCGGACGAAUCAGGUGAAAGCUGUCCAAUCAAUUUUUAUUGAUACAUUUUUAUUUUCUUCGAGAACAAUUACUUUCAUUUGUGCAAUUUCUUAUGCAGAAUUCAUCAUUACAAAGGAGACCAUCAAACUAUAGCCCUUGCCUACAUCGGAUGGAUCAAUGGACGUGGUCAUUUAUAACCCGCCGAGAUUCAACAUAUUCCAGCAAUCCGUUGUUCAACUAUAUGCCGGUUCAUAUCACGGUCAAGUAUGAAGAGUCUCAAGUUAACUCCUCGUGUCGUGUUAAAACUCGGGGGCUACAAUAACAUGACUCAGCAAAUUUUGCCAGUUUCAGCAAAUUCAAGAAACCCAGGACAUUGGAGGGGAAGAUAACCCGGUCCCGGAGGCUACUGCCAUAUUGGUGAAAAAUUCAAAAGGCAGUCAAGACAAUUUCCGGUUUAAAAAGAAGAUUCCGGUUCAACGUCCGGUUCAAAAGGAAUUCAUUUCUCACAAGUUUGAGUUCUCAGAAAAAUUAAAGGUUGCCAAAGAGAAUUUGAACAGUGCGCAGUUCAAACAUGAGUAUCCUGCCUUAUUGGCUUAUCGUAUUAUUGGUCUCAUGGGGGCUUCCUGCUGACCGAGCAUAGCUGUUUCACACCCAUGCCAUCUAGUUUCCAAGCCGACUCAUUGGUCUCAUGGGGGAUUCCUGCUCACCGAGCAUAGCUGUUCACAUCCAUGAGAUCCGGUUUCCAAGCCGACUCAUUGGUCUCAUGGGGGCUUCCUGCUCACCGAGCAUAGCUGUUCACACCCAUGAGAUCCGGUUUCCAAGCUGACUUUGAGAUUGAGGGAGUCCUGGAUUAGGGGGUGUUCGGAUAGCCGGACUAUAUCUCCCGCCGGACUCCAGGACUAUGAAGAUACAAGAACGAAGACUCUGUCCCGUGUCCGGAAGGUUCUUUCCUUGGCGUAGAAGGCAAGCUAGGCAUGCGGAUAUUCAAGAUCUCCUCCCCAUGUAACUGACUCUGUGUAACCCUAACUGAUGGGGAACGUUGCAGAAAACAAAAAAUUUCCUACUCGUUUCACCAAGAUCAUCUAGGAGUUCAUCUAGCAACGAGUGAUUAGAUGCAUCUACAUACCUUUGUAGAUCGCGCACGGAAGCAUUCAAAGAACGGUGAUGAUGUAGUCGUACUCGACGUGAUCCAAAUCACCGAUGACCAGCGCCGAACGGACGGCACCUCCGCGUUCAACACACGUACGGGACGGGAGACGUCUCCUCCUUCUUGAUCCAGCAAGGGGGAAGGAGAGGUUGAUGAAGAUCCAGCAGCACGACGGCGUGGUGGUGGAUGCAGGGCGUCACAGCAGCAGGGCUUCGCCAAGACUACGAGGGAGAGACGUAACGGGGAAGAUGGAGGCGCCAGGGGCUGGUGUGAAAUCCCUCCUCUCCCCCCACUAUAUAUAGGGGUGCCAGGGGGGCGCCGGCCCUAGUAGAUGAGAUCUACUAAGGGGGGGCCGCGGCCAAGGGGAGGUUUCCCUCCCCCCCAAGGCACCUAGGGGUGCGUUCCACCACAUGGACUCUUCCAUGGUGGAAACCCUAGGCGCAUGGGCCUAUAGGGGCUGGUGCCCUUGGCCCAUCUAGGCCAAGGCGCACCCCCUACAGCCCAUGUGGCCCCCCGGGACAGGUGGCCCCACCCGGUGGACCCCCGGGACCCUUCCGGUGGUCCCGGUACAAUACCGAUAACCCCGAAACUUGUCCCGAUGCCCGAAAUAGCACUUCCUAUAUAUAAUUCUUUACCUCCGGACCAUUCCGGAACUCCUCAUGACGUCCGGGAUCUCAUCCGGGACUCCGAACAACAUUUGGGUUUCUGCAUAUACAUAUCUUCAUAACCCUAGCGUCAUCGAACCUUAAGUGUGUAGACCCUACGGGUUCGGGAGACAAGCAGACAUGACCGAGACGACUCUCCGGUCAAUAACCAACAACGGGAUCUGGAUACCCAUGUUGGCUCCCACAUGCUCCACGAUGAUCUCAUCGAAUGAACCACGAUGUCGAGGAUUCAAUCAAUCCCGUACGCUAUUCCCUUUGUCUAUCGAUAUGUUACUUGCCCGAGAUUCGAUCGUCGGUAUCCCAAUACCUCGUUCAAUCUCGUUACCGGCAAGUCACUUUACUCGUACCGUAAUGCAUGAUCCCGUGACCAGACACUUGGUCACUCUGAGCUCAUUAUGAUGAUGCAUUACCGAGUGAGCCCAGUGAUACCUCUCCGUCAUACGGAGUGACAAAUCCCAGUCUUGAUCCAUGUCACCCAACAGACACUUUCGGAGAUACCCGUAGUCUACCUUUAUAGUCUCCCAGUUACGUUGUGACGUUUGGCAUACCCAAAGCACUCCUACGGUAUCCGGGAGUUACACGAUCUCAUGGUCUAAGGAAAAGAUACUUUGACAUUGGAAAACUCUAGCAAACAAACUAUACGAUCUUGUGCUAUGUUUAGGAUUGGGUCUUGUCCAUCACAUCAUUCUCCCAAUGAUGUGAUCUCGUUAUCAAUGACAUCCAGUGUCCAUAGUCAGGAAACCAUGACUAUCUGUUGAUCAACGAGCUAGUCAACUAGAGGCUCACUAGGGACAUGUUGGUGUCUGUUAUUCACACAUGUAUUACGAUUUCCGGAUAACACAAUUAUAGCAUGAAUAAAGAAAAUUAUCAUGAACAAGGAAAUAUAAUAAUAAUGCUUUUAUUAUUGCCUCUAGGGCAUAUUUCCAACAGUCUCCCACUUGCACUAGAGUCAAUAAUCUAGUUACAUUGUGAUGAAUCGAACACCCAUGGAAUUCUGGUGUUGAUCAUGUUUUGCUCUAGGGAGAGGUUUAGUCAACGGAUCUGCUAUAUUCAGGUCCGUAUGUACUUUACAAAUCUCUAUGUCUCCAUCUUGAACAUUCUCACGAAUGGAGUUGAAGCGACGCUUGAUGUGCCUUGUCUUCUUGUGAAACCUGGGCUCCUUGGCAAGUGCAAUAGCUCCAGUGUUGUCACAGAAGAGCUUGAUCGGCCCCGACGCAUUGGGUAUGACUCCUAGGUCGGUGAUGAACUCCUUCACCCAUAUUGCUUCAUGUGCUGCCUCCGAGGCUGCCAUGUACUCCGCUUCACAUGUAGAUCCCGCCACGACGCUUUGCUUGCAACCGCACCAGCUUACUGCCCCACCAUUCAAAAUAUACACGUAUCCGGUUUGUGACUUAGAGUCAUCCAGAUCUGUGUCGAAGCUAGCGUCGACGUAACCCUUUACGACGAGCUCUUCGUCACCUCCAUAAAUGAGAAACAUUUCCUUAGUCCUUUUCAGGUACUUCAGGAUAUUCUUGACCGCUGUCCAGUGUUCCUUGCCGGGAUUACUUUGGUACCUUCCUACCAAACUGACGGCAAGGUUAACAUCAGGUCUGGUACACAGCAUGGCAUACAUAAUAGAACCUAUGGCUGAGGCAUAGGGGAUGACGCUCAUCUCUUCUAUAUCUUCUGUCGUGGUCGGACAUUGAGCCGAGCUCAAUUUCAUACCUUGUAACACAGGCAAGAACCCCUUCUUGGAUUGAUCCAUAUUGAACUUCUUCAAUAUCUUAUCAAGGUAUGUGCUUUGUGAAAGACCUAUGAGGCGUCUCGAUCUAUCUCUAUAGAUUUUGAUGCCUAAUAUAUAAGCAGCUUCUCCAAGGUCCUUCAUUGAAAAACUUUUAUUCAAGUAGGCCUUGAUGCUGUCCAAGAGUUCUAUAUCAUUUCCCAUCAAAAGUAUGUCAUCUACAUAUAAUAUGAGAAAUGCUACAGAGCUCCCACUCACUUUCUUGUAAACGCAGGCUUCUCCAUAAGUCUGUGUAAACCCAAACGCUUUGAUCAUCUCAUCAAAGCGAAUGUUCCAACUCCGAGAUGCUUGCACCAGCCCAUAAAUCGAGCGUUGGAGCUUGCACACUUUGUCAGCAUUCUCAGGAUCGACAAAACCUUCCGGCUGCAUCAUAUACAAUUCUUCCUUAAGGAAACCAUUAAGGAAUGCCGUUUUGACGUCCAUUUGCCAUAUUUCGUAAUCAUAGAAUGCGGCAAUUGCUAACAUGAUUCGGACGGACUUCAGCUUCGCUACCGGUGAGAAAGUCUCAUCGUAGUCAACCCCUUGAACUUGUCGAUAACCCUUAGCGACAAGCCGAGCUUUAUAGAUGGUCACAUUACCAUCCGCGUCUGUCUUCCUCUUAAAGAUCCAUUUAUUUUCUAUGGCUCGCCGCUCAACGGGCAAGUCAGUCAAAGUCCAUACUUUGUUUUCAUACAUGGAUCCUAUCUCUGAUUUCAUGGCUUCUAGCCAUUUGUCGGAAUCCGGGCCCGCCAUCGCUUCUUCAUAGUUCGAAGGUUCACCGUUGUCUAACAGCAUGAUUUCCAAGACAGGGUUGCCGUACCACUCUGGUGCGGAACGUGUCCUUGUGGACCUUCGAAUUUCAGUAGGGGCUUGAUCAGAAGUAUCUUGAUCAUUGUCAUUAACUUCCUCUCUAGUCGGUGCAGGCACCUCAGGAACAUUUUCUUGAGUUGCGCCAUUUUCCAGUUCAAGAGGUAAUACUUCAUCAAGCUCUACUUUCCUCCCACUUACUUCUUUCAAGAGAAACUCUUUCUCCAGAAAGGACCCAUUCUUGGCAACAAAGAUCUUGCCUUCGGAUCUGAGGUAGAAGGUGUACCCAAUAGUUUCUUUUGGGUAUCCUAUGAAGACGCAUUUUUCCGACUUGGGUUCGAGCUUUUCAGGUUGAAGUUUCUUGACAUAAGCAUCGCAUCCCCAAACUUUUAGAAAUGACAGCUUAGGUUUCUUCCCAAACCAUAAUUCAUACGGUGUCGUCUCAACGGAUUUCGACGGAGCCCUAUUCAAAGUGAAUGCGGCAGUCUCUAAAGCAUAGCCCCAAAAGGAUAGCGGUAAAUCGGUAAGAGACAUCAUAGAUCGCACCAUAUCUAAUAGAGUGCGAUUACGACGUUCGGACACACCAUUACACUGAGGUGUUCCAGGCGGCGUGAGUUGUGAAACUAUUCCACAUUUUCUUAAGUGUGUGCCAAACUCGUGACUCAAGUAUUCUCCUCCAUGAUCUGAUCGUAGAAACUUGAUUUUCCUGUCACGUUGAUUUUCAACCUCACUCUGAAAUUCCUUGAACUUUUCAAAGGUUUCAGACUUGUGUUUCAUUAAGUAGAUAUACCCAUACCUACUUAAAUCAUCAGUGAGGGUGAGAACAUAACGCUAGCCACCGCGAGCCUCAACACUCAUUGGACCGCACACAUCAGUAUGUAUGAUUUCCAAUAAGUCGGUUGCUCGCUCCAUUGUUCCUGAGAACGGAGUCUUGGUCAUUUUACCUAUAAGGCAUGGUUCGCAUGUGUCAAAUGAUUCAUAAUCAAGAGACUCUAAAAGUCCAUCAGCAUGGAGCUUCUUCAUGCGUUUGACACCUAUGUGACCAAGGCGGCAGUGCCACAGGUAUGUGGGACUAUCAUUAUCAACCUUACUUCUUUUGGUACUCACAUUAUGAACAUGUGUAGCAUCACGUUCGAGAUUCAUAAAGAAUAAACCAUUCACCAUAGGAGCAUGACCAUAAAACAUAUCUCUCAUAAAAAUGGAACAACCAUUAUUCUCAGAUUUAAAAGAGUAGCCAUCUCGAAUUAAACGAGAUCCCGAUACAAUGUUCAUGCUCAAAGCUGGCACUAAAUAACAAUUAUUAAGGUUUAAAACUAAUCCCGAAGGGAGAUGCAGAGGUAGCGUGCCGACGGCGACCACAUUGACCUUGGAACCAUUCCCGACACGCAUCGUCACCUCGUCCUUUGCCAGUUUCCGCUUAUUCCGCAGCCCCUGCUUUGAGUUACAAAUGUGAGCAACUGCACCGGUAUCAAAUACCCAGGAGCUACUACGGGCACUAGUAAGGUACACAUCAAUUACAUGUAUAUCACAUAUCUUUUGUUUUGCCGGCCUUCUUAUCCGCUAAGUACUUAGGGCAGUUCCGCUUCCAGUGACCGCUUCCCUUGCAAUAAAAGCACUCAGUCUCGGGCUUGGGUCCAUUCUUUGGCUUCUUCCCGGCAGCUUGCUUGCCGGGCGCGGCAACCUCCUUGCCGUCCUUCUUGAAGUUCUUUUUAUCCUUGCCUUUCUUGAACUUAGUGGUUUUAUUGACCAUCAACACUUGAUGUUCCUUCCUGACUUCUACCUCUGCUGAUUUCAGCAUAGCAAAUACUUCAGGAAUGGUCUUUUCCAUCCCCUGCAUAUUGAAGUUCAUCACAAAGCUCUUGUAGCUUGGUGGAAGCGACUGGAGGAUUCUGUCAAUGACCGCAUCAUCCGGGAGAUUAACUCCCAGCUGAGUCAAGCGGUUAUGCAACCCAGACAUAGUGAGUAUGUGCUCACUGACAGAACUGUUUUCCUCCAUCUUACAGCUGAAGAAUUUGUCGGAGACUUCAUAUCUCUCGACCCGGGCAUGAGCUUGGAAAACCAUUUUCAGCUCUUCGAACAUCUCAUAUUCUCCAUGUCUCUCAAAACGCUUUUGGAGCCCCGGCUCUAGGCUGUAAAGCAUGCCGCACUGAACGAGGGAGUAGUCAUCGGAACGUGCCUGCCAAGCGUUCAUAACAUCUUGUUCUGCAGGGAGAACGGGUGCGUCACCAAGCGGUGCUUGUAGGACAUAAUCUUUCUUGGCAGCUAUGAGGAUGAUCCUCGGGUUCCGGACCCAGUCCGUAUAGUUGCUGCCAUCGUCUUUCAGCUUGGUUUUCUCUAGGAACGCGUUGAAGUUGAGGACUACGUUGGACAUUUAAUCUACAAGACAUAUUGUAAAAUAUUUAGACUAAGUUCAUGAUAAUUAAGUUCAACUAAUCAAAUUAUUAAUGAACUCCCACUUAGAUUAGACAUCCCUCCAGUCAUCUAAGUAUUACAUGAUCCGAGUUUAACUAGACCGUGUCCGAUCAUCACGUGAGACGGACUAGUCAACGUCGGUGAACAUCUUCAUGUUGAUCGUAUCUUCUAUACGACUCAUGAUCGACCUUUCGGUCUUCUGUGUUCCGAGGCCAUGUCUGUACAUGCUAGGCUCGUCAAGUUAACCUAAGUGUUUGCAUGUGUAAAUCUGUCUUACACCCGUUGUAUGUGAACGUCUGAAUAAAACACCCGAUCAUCACGUGGUGUUUUGAAACAGCGAACUGUCGCAACGGUGCACAGUUAGGGGGAACACUUCUUGAAUUUAUUGUGAGGGAUCAUCUUAUUUACUACCGUCGUUCUAAGUAAACAAGAUGCAAAACAUGAUAAACAUCACAUGCAAUCAAAUAAUAAACGUGACAUGAUAUGGCCAAUAUCACAUAGCUCCUUUGAUCUCCAUCUUGGGGCUCCAUGAUCAUCUUGUCACCGGCUUGACACCAUGAUCUCCAUCAUCAUGAUCUCCAUCAUCGUGUCUCCAUGAAGUUGCUCGCCAACUAUUACUUCUACUACUAUGGCUAACGCGUUUAGCAAUAAAGUAAAGUAAUUUACAUGGCGUUUCUCGAUGACACGCAGGUCAUAAAAAGAAUAAAGACAACUCCUAUGGCUCCUGCCGGUUGUCAUACUCAUCGACAUGCAAGUCGUGAAUCCUAUUACAAUAGCAUGAACAUCUCAUACAUAACAUAUAGAUCAUUCAUCAUUCAUCACAACUUUGGCCAUAUCAUAUCACAAACCACUUGCUGCAAAAACAAGUUAGACGUCCUCUAAUUGUUGUUGCAAGUUUUACGUGGCUGAAUUAGGGUUCUAGCAAGAACGUUUUCUUACCUACGUUAAAGCCACAACGUGAUUUGUCAACUUCUAUUUACCCUUCAUAAGGACCCUGUUCAUCGAUUCCGCUCCAACUAAAGUGAGAGAGACAGACACCCGCCAGCCACCUUAUGCAACUAGUGCAUGUUAGUCGGUGGAACCGGUCUCACGUAAGCGUACGUGUAAGGUUGGUCCGGGCCGCUUCAUCCCACAAUACCGCUGAAGCAAGAAAGGACUAGUAACGGCAAGAAAGUUGACAAAUCUACGCCCACAACAAAUUGUGUUCUACUCGCGCAAGAAGAACUACGCAUAGACCUAGCUCUGAUACCACUGAUGGGGAACGUUGCAGAAAACAAAAAAUUUCCUACUCGUUUCACCAAGAUCAUCUAGGUGUUCAUCUAGCAACGAGUGAUUAGAUGCAUCUACAUACCUUUGUAGAUCGCGCACGGAAGCGUUCAAAGAACGGUGAUGAUGUAGUCGUACUCGACGUGAUCCAAAUCACCGAUGACCAGCGCCGAACGGACGGCACCUCCGCGUUCAACACACGUACGGGACGGGAGACGUCUCCUCCUUCUUGAUCCAGCAAGGGGGAAGGAGAGGUUGAUGAAGAUCCAGCAGCACGACGGCGUGGUGGUGGAUGCAGGGCGUCACAGCAGCAGGGCUUCGCCGAGACUACGAGGGAGAGACGUAACGGGGAAGAUGGAGGCGCCAGGGGCUGGUGUGAAAUCCCUCCUCUCCCCCCACUAUAUAUAGGGGUGCCAGGGGGGGCGCCAGCCCUAGUAGAUGAGAUCUACUAAGGGGGGGCCGCGGCCAAGGGGAGGUUUCCCUCCCCCCCCCAAGGCACCUAGGGGUGCCUUCCACCACAUGGACUCUUCCAUGGUGGAAACCCUAGGUGCAUGGGCCUAUAGGGGCUGGUGCCCUUGGCCCAUCUAGGCCAAGGCGCACCCCCUACAGCCCAUGUGGCCCCCCGGGACAGGUGGCCCCACCCGGUGGACCCCCGGGACCCUUCCGGUGGUCCCGGUACAAUACCGAUAACCCCGAAACUUGUCCUGAUGCCCGAAAUAGCACUUCCUAUAUAUAAUUCUUUACCUCCGGACCAUUCCGGAACUCCUCGUGACGUACGGGAUCUCAUCCGGGACUCCGAACAACAUUCGGGUUUCUGCAUAUACAUAUCUUCAUAACCCUAGCGUCACCGAACCUUAAGUGUGUAGACCCUACGGGUUCGGGAGACAAGCAAACAUGACCGAGACGACUCUCCGGUCAAUAACCAACAGCGGGAUCUGGAUACCCAUGUUGGCUCCCACAUGCUCCACGAUGAUCUCAUCGGAUGAACCACGAUGUCGAGGAUUCAAUCAAUCCCGUACGCUAUUCCCUUUGUCUAUCGAUAUGUUACUUGCCCGAGAUUCGAUCGUCGGUAUCCCAAUACCUCGUUCAAUCUCGUUACCGGCAAGUCACUUUACUCGUACCGUAAUGCAUGAUCCCGUGACCAGACACUUGGUCACUCUGAGCUCAUUAUGAUGAUGCAUUACCGAGUGGGCCCAGUGAUACCUCUCCGUCAUACGGAGUGACAAAUCCCAGUCUUGAUCCAUGUCACCCAACAGACACUUUCGGAGAUACCCGUAGUCUACCUUUAUAGUCACCCAGUUACGUUGUGACGUUUGGCAUACCCAAAGCACUCCUACGGUAUCCGGGAGUUACACGAUCUCAUGGUCUAAGGAAAAGAUACUUUGACAUUGGAAAACUCUAGCAAACGAACUAAAUGAUCUUGUGCUAUGUUUAGGAUUGGGUCUUGUCCAUCACAUCAUUCUCCCAAUGAUGUGAUCUCGUUAUCAAUGACAUCCAGUGUCCAUAGUCAGGAAACCAUGACUAUCUGUUGAUCAACGAGCUAGUCAACUAGAGGCUCACUAGGGACAUGUUGGUGUCUGUUAUUCACACAUGUAUUACGAUUUCCGGAUAACACAAUUAUAGCAUGAAUAAAGACAAUUAUCAUGAACAAGGAAAUAUAAUAAUAAUGCUUUUAUUAUUGCCUCUAGGGCAUAUUUCCAACACUAACCCUGUCCGGUGUCUAUAUAAACCGGAGGGUUUUAGUCCGUAGGACAACUUCAUCAUACAACAAUCAUACCAUAGGCUAGCUUCUAGGGUUUAGCCUCCUUGAUCUCGUGGUAGAUCUACUCUUGUACUACCCUUAUCAUCAAUAUUAAUCAAGGAGGAGUAGGGUUUUACCUCCAUCGAGAGGGCCCGAACCUGGGUAAAACAAAGUGUCCCCUGUCUCCUGUUACCAUCCAACCUUGACGCACAGUUCGGGACCCCCUACCCGAGAUCCGCCGGUUUUGACACCGACAUUGGUGCUUUCAUUAAUAGUUCCUCUGUGUCGUCGCCUUUAGGUUCGAUGGCUCCUUUAAUCAUCAACAACGAUAAGGUCCAGGGUGAGACUUUUCUCCCCGGACAGAUCUUCGCCUUCGGCGGCUUCGCUCUGCGAGCCAAUUCGCUUGGCCAUCUGGAGCAGAUCAAAAGCUACGCCCCUGGCCAUCAAGUCAGGUUUGGAAGCUUAAACUACACGGCGGAUAUCCGCGGAGACUUGAUCUUCGACGGAUUCGAGCCACAGCCAAGCGUGCCGCACUGUCAAAAGGAGCACGAUAUAGCUCUGCUCCCGAACAGUGUCCUGGAGGCCGCACACGCUCCGGCCCCGACCAUCGAUUCGGAGUCCGCUGCGAUCGUUGAGGAAGAACGGUUGGACGUCACCUCAGGGGCUGCGACGUUAAAAGCGGUUGAGCCGAACGCCGACCCCGCACUCCGUGCUGCCUAUUACUCCGAGGAGCCGGAUUCUUCUCCGGACUCCGGGCCCUUUACGCCCCUGCCGAUCGAAUCCGAUUGGGCGCCCGUAAUGGAGUUCACCACCGCGGAUAUCUUUCAGUGUUCACCUCUUGGUGACAUCCUGAAUUCUCUCAAGUCUCUCUCUUUAUCAGGAGAGCCCAUGCCGGAUUAUGGUCUGCGAGGUUGGGAUUCGGACGAUGAAGAAAUUCAAAGCCCACCCACCACCCACUUAAUAGCCACUGUCGACGAUUUAACCGACAUGGUUGACUAUGGCUCCAAAGACUUCGAUGACUUGGACGACGAAGGAGGAGACGAACAACAACCAGCACCUACAGGGCGCUGGACCGCCACCUCGUCAUAUGACAUAUACAUGGUGGACGCUCCAAAAGAUGGAGAUGGCGAUAGAACAGCGGAGGACGGCUCAUCAAAAAAGCAUCCCAAGCGCCGCCGUCAGCGGCACCGCUCCAAAUCCCGCCAAAGCAAGAACGGUGAUUCUGGCACGGGAGACAAUGCUACCCCGGAUACUGCCGAAGAACACCAACCCCAGCAAGACUCGGCACGGGAAGACGGUGAAGCCAGCCUUCACAAUAAUGCAGCAGAAAGAGAGGUUGAGGAUGACAACUACAUGCCUCCCUCCGAAGACGAGGCAAGCCUCGAGGACGACGAAUUUGUCGUACCACCAGACCCCGCCGAACAAGAGCGUUUUCAGCGCAGGCUUAUUGCCACGGCCAACAGCCUAAAGAAAAAGCAGCAACAGCUUAGAGCUGAUCAAGAUUUGCUGGCGGACAGAUGGACAGACGUCCUUGCGGCCGAGGAGUUCGGACUCGGGCGCCACUCCAAAACUUACCCUAAACGCAGGCUUCUUCCCCAAUCAGAGGACGAAGCAAAUGACAUGGCAGAUCGGCCACCUCGCGGCCGUGACAGAGAGGCCCGCCGCACCUUCAGGCCAACCGUACUACGGGGCUGUUCGGCCAGGGCACAAGAAAACGAGCCAGACCUGCGACAAGUAUUGGAGGACAAAGCAAGGCAGACAAGAUCGAUAUACGGAUCACGCGGACGCCCGACACGUAACAAUUUUCAGUCCGGACACAACAGGUCCGGCCGGGCCGAACACAACAUACACAGCUCUGCCGAGCUACGGCGCAACAUAGCCCAAUACAGGGGCGCCGCACACCCGCUAUGCUUCACAGACGAAGUAAUGGAUCAUCAAAUCCCAGAGGAUUUUAAACCCGUCAAUAUCGAGUCGUACGAUGGUACGACAGACCCAACAGUUUGGAUCGAGGAUUAUCUCCUCCAUAUCCACAUGGCACGCGACGACGACCUGCACGCCAUCAAAUACCUCCCACUCAAGCUUAAGGGACCAGCUCGGCAUUGGCUUAACAGCCUGCCAGUAAAUUCAAUCGGUUCUUGGGAGGACCUGGAGGCCGCAUUCCUUGACAACUUUCAGGGCACUUAUGUGCGACCACCGGACGCUGAUGAUCUAAGCCACAUAAUCCAGCAGCCAGACGAAUCGGCCAGACAAUUCUGGACACGGUUCCUCACAAAGAAAAAUCAGAUAGUCGACUGUCCGGACGCAGAGGCCCUAGCGGCCUUCAAGCAUAAUAUCCGCGACGAAUGGCUUGCCCGGCACCUGGGACAGGAAAAGCCGAAGUCCAUGGCAGCCCUAACGACGCUCAUGACCCGCUUUUGCGCGGGAGAAGACAGCUGGCUAUCUCGUAGUAACAACUUAUCGAAGAAGUCCCGAAAUUCGGACACCAAGGACAAAAGUGGCAGGUCACGUAGAAACAAUCACAAACGGCCGCUUAUGCGGCGAUAGUAAUGAGGAUACGGCAGUAAAUGCCGGAUUCAGAGGCCAUAAAUCCGGUCAACGGAAACAACCAUCUAAAAAAUAACCAGGGCCCGUCCAGUUUGGACCGAAUACUCGAUCGCCUGUGCCAAAUUCACGGCACCCCCGAAGUGCCAGCUAACCACACUAACAGAGACUGUUGGGUGUUUAGGCAGGCAGGCAAGUCAAUAGCCGAACAUAAAAACAAGGGGCUAGACAGCGACGACGAGCGGGAGCCCAGGCCGCCGAACAACAAAGGACAGAAGGGGUUUCCCCCACAAGUGCGGAUGGUGAACAUGAUAUAUGCAACCCACAUUCCCAAGAGGGAAAGGAAGCGUGCGCUACGGGACGUAUACGCGAUGGAGCCAGUCGCCCCAAAGUUCAACCCUUGGUCUUCUUGCCCGAUCACUUUCGAUCGAAGGGACCAUCCCACUAGCAUCCGUCACGGCGGUUUUGCCGCAUUGGUCCUUGAUCCAAUCGUUGACGGCUUUCAUCUUACAAGAGUCCUAAUGGACGGCGGCAGCAGCCUGAACCUGCUUUACCAGGAUACAGUGCGGAAAAUGGGCAUAGAUCCAUCAAGGAUCAAGCCCACAAGGACGACCUUUAAAGGCGUUAUCCCAGGUGUGGAGGCCAGUUGCACAGGCUCGAUAACACUUGAUGUGGUCUUCGGAUCUCCGAAUAAUUUCCGAAGCAAAGAGUUAAUCUUCGAUAUAGUCCCGUUCCGCAGUGGUUAUCACGCCCUACUCGGACGAACUGCAUUCGCUAAAUUCAAUGCGGUUCCGCACUACGCAUACCUCAAGCUCAAGAUGCCAGGCCCUCGAGGAGUAAUCACGGUCAGCGGAAACACCGAACGCUCCAUAACUACGGAGCAACACACGGCGGCACUCGCAUUGGAAGUUCAAAGUAGCCUUUCAAGGCAGCUCUCCAGUCCGGCCAUUAAAACGCCGGACAGUGCGAAACGCGCCCGGAGUAACCUACAACAAGACCACUUGGCAAGAUCGGAGCAGGCGUAGCAAUGCGGCCCCAACCCCAUCCAUCGCAGCAUCGCGGAAUCAGUACCUCGAGUACACAGCUAUGCCCUUAAAAUUCCAUGGGCACGGGGGAAGGGGGCACUUUAGCGGCAUGCCUACAAUACGGCGUUAAUCGUACCAGGGGCUGCCGGACUUUUUCUUUUAUUUCUUAUUUUCAGGACUCCAUAUUUCGGGUAACCUGUUCGGCCCUGCUGCCGCACAAGACGAUACAAGGCCCAGGAGAGCAGACAAAGCUACGCCGCACUACGGAACUUUCAGGUGGUCUCUAUGUUGAGCGAUAUAUCUGUUUCCAAAUUUCAGCGGCCUACGCCUGGUCUGGACAUGUUAAAUAGUCUAGCAUUUCUCGCUUAUUGCACUUCUUGUACCGUCAGGCUUUAAAUAGCUUCUUUAUAAACAAUGCAUAGAUUUGUGUCUAUUUUUCUGCAUUACAUUUUUGAAUAUAUAUAUGUUUAUCUUAUAACAUGAUCGCACCUGUACACCAUGGUACGGCAAACCACGCCAGGGGCUUCAUUUCCCUUCUAUCUGGACGUGAGAAGUCCGCACACCUUCCUCAGUGCGGCACCCCGAACUUAUAGCACUAUAUGCAUCGGCUCCGAGUCAUGAUUUUGGUCAUAUGUUGGGUUUGCCCGGCUCCUGUGUUCGGCCACCUUACGUUCCGUUGUCGGCUAAGGUAGCUCCAGGAGAACCACUGCGAUUGCACCCCGGUUCGGCCGGGCGAGUGCCUCAGCGGAGAAAGCUAAAACAGACUGCCAUGAUAGGGCGUGAGACCGGUCGCUGUUCGAGAGGUUUUUUCGAGUCCUUAAAGGCUUAUGCCGCUUCGAGCGGAGAGCUUGCUAAACACCAGCUAAAGGGCGUGGAUAGCGCCCCGAAUUCGGCCUUCCGAACUAGGGGCUUCGCCGAAAUUUAAAAUUAUAAAGUUCUAUGGCUAAGUGAGAGUGUUCAAGCAUUAUAGUCCGGUAUCCUGGUUCGUUGUGCUGAAGGCCUCCCUCGAUGGACCCAAUUAUGGGAAAAAGAGCCCUCAGGUUUAUCCCGAACACCCCAGCACUAGUUGCAUGGGGGCUGAAGUCGACGACUCGCCAUCUCUCAGUUAUUGAUAAACGGCCGCACAGAAAACAAUAUUUUAAAUUCAAAGCAUUGCUUAAAGCGCAUAUGAACAAGUUUUCAGCGCACAGGAUACAAAUGACCGAGUUUACUCCAAUAUUACAUCUCUACUACAUUCAUCCGCGACAAGUCGAGCUCCAGCAAGAACUUCUUUAUAAUAGUUCUCGGGCUUGCGAUGCUCCUUCCCCACCGGCGGCCCGUCCUUCACCAGCUUCUCGCCGUUCAGCUUGCCCGAGUGCACUCUCACACGUGCAAGGGCCCUCCGGGCACCCUCGAUGCAGGCAGAGCGCUUGAUGAUUUCAAGUCGUGGACAAGCCUCCACCAGCCGCCGCACAAGCCCGAAGUAGCUCCCAGGCAGGGCCUCCCCAGGCCACAGCCGAACUAUAAGACCAUUCAUGGCCUGUUCAGCCGCCUUGUGUAGCUCGACCAGCUGCUUCAGCUGGUCACUCAAGGGCACAGGGUGUCCGGCCUCAGAGUACUGAGACCAGAACACACUCUCCGCCGAGCUGCUCUCUCCGGCUCGAUAGAAAGCGGCGGCAUCGGACGCGCUGCGGGGAAGAUCGACAAAAGCCCCUGGAGAACUCCGGAUCCGGGUAAGCAACAAGUAUUUUAUUUUUAUAUUCUUACUUUGCAUUGAUAAUGCCUUACCCGCUGCUAUCUUCUUUAACUCCUCCAAUUCUUGGAGAGCCUUCUGGGCUUCGGCCUUAGCAUUCUUGGCGGCCUCAAUGGCAGAGGUGAGUUCGGUGGCUUGCGUUUUCACGUCAAGCUCCAGAGCCUCAUGUUUCUUCAUGAGAUCCUGCAGCUUCUGCUGCACCUCGCUGCAUUCGACCCCAAGCCUUUCUCGCUCGGUGCGCUCCUCGGCCGUUUUCUUUUCGGCCUCGGUGAGCGCCUGCCUCAGGUUGGCCACCUCCGUUGCGGCCCCUGCAUUAGGCAGCAUAUUCCUGUUAUUUUUUCGCAAUCAAGCCUCUCCAUGGGCACAUUUUAUUAUUCAGAGGAUUUUCUUACCCUCAUUCUCUUUGAGCUGCCCUCUGGCAAGUCCGAGCUCUCGCUCGGACCGCUCAAGGUCCUUUUUCAGGACGUCCACCUGCGCAGUCAAUGCGGCGGUGGACAGCAGCGAAGCCUGCACAUGCAUAUUUGACCUUUUUUAUUAGUCUCCUGCGAUAAUUAUUAGAUCCUCUAUCCGGCUUUUCUUUCCGAACACCGAACAAAGCAUUAGGGACUACUGUCUAUGCGGUAAUAGAUUUAAUAUAUUAUUUACUUACUUGAAAGCCUGUUAGAAGGCUAGCGCAAGCUUCAUUCAGCCCGCUCUUGGCGGACUGAACCCUUUUGACCACCGUACUCAUAACAGUACGGUGCUCCUCGUCAAUGGUGGCGCCUUCAAGCGCCUCCAUCAAAUAGUCCGGCGCCUCUGGUUGGGCAGAGGUCGCCGGGUCUGACGGCUUACUCCUCUUGGAAGGAGUUCGCCUACCGCGCGCUGGGUCUGUCGGGACCGGCGCGGUGUCCGGCACAGGGCCGGACUUGGUGCCCUGGGGGGACUUAUCCCCUCCAAUCCUGGAGUCCGGGAGGUUGCCGUGCGGCUCCUCCAGGACCACCUCCUCCUGCCCAGGAGUUCGACGGGACGCCACUUCGGCAUCAUCCGUCCGGCGGGGGGAGACAGCGGGCGGAACAGAGUUCACGUCCGAAGAAUCCAGGGAAUUACUCGACGAAUCGUCGAGUGUGGUCCGGGGCGGCCUGCACAAUUACAUUUAAACAUAAGGGAAAGCUGCACAAAUGAAGGAAUAUCAUGAGUUACUCUGGUAUCCGAAUACUUACGACGUCGCCGGACGCUUGGCCCUUUCCGGCCGCUCCUCCUCGUCCUUAUUGGAGUCAGGGGAGUAGUCCGGCGGAGGGGUUUUCCUCUUUUUGGACCCCUUAGCCGCCCCCGCUGGGGCGGCCUUCCUCUUUUUUUCCUUCCCCCGUUGGAGGGGGAGGGAUUUCUCCUUCCUCCUCCUCGCUUUCACGAGGGGAGGACGUCGCAGACUCGCCAGAUGACGAGUCUGAUAGCACCACGUUGCGGGCACUCUUUCGAGUCCCGGUGGUCUUCUUCUUCUUGACCUUCUUGUCCGGCACCACAUAAGGUGCCGGAACCAGCAGCUUCUCUAAAAGAGCUGGGGCUGGGUCUUCGGGCAGGGGAGCCGGACAGUUGAUGGGUCCGGCUAUCUCUCGCCACGCCUGUCAAAGGUGAAGGGAGUUGGGAUCCCGCAUGGAGUUAAUCUAUGAAAAAGAGCUUAACGAACCUGUCAAAGGUACAGAUAGCUUACCUCGCUGGCGUGACGCUGCGAGCUGAAUCCGCGAUCCUCGAAAGCGGACGAGGGGGACUCGGCGCCUUUGGUCAGCACCUUCCAGACGUCUUCAUACGUCGUGUCGAAGAGCCUACUAAGGGUUCGGUGCCGCGCCGAGUCGAAUUCCCACAAAGUAAAAUCCCGUUGUUGGCACGAGAGGAUCCGGCGGACGAGCAUAACCUGGAUUACGUUCACAAGCCUGAUUGGCUUGCCCACCAGGGACCGGAUGCAUUUCUGCAGUCCAGUCACUUCUUCCUCGUUGCCCCACGACAGGCCCGUCUCUUUCCAGGACAUAAGCCGCGUGGGGGGUCCGGAUCUGAACUCGGGGGCUGCGAUCCAUUCCGGAUCGCGUGGCUCGGUGAUGUAAAACCACCCGGCUUGCCACCCCUUUAAGGUCUCCACAAAGGAGCCCUAGAACCAGAGGACGUUGGCCAUCUUACCGGCCAUAGCGCCUCUGCACUCCGCCUGGGUGCCGGACACCACCUUGGGCUUGACGUUGAAGGUCUUGAGCCAGAGGCCGAAGUGGGGGCGGACGCGGAGAAAGGCCUCACACACGACGAUAAACGCCGAGAUGUUGAGGAUGAAGUUCGGGGCCAGAUCGUGGAAAUCCAGCCCGUAAUAGAACAUGAGACCCCGGACAAAUGGGUGGAGUGGAAACCCUAGUCCGCGAAGAAAGUGGGGAAGAAAAACUACCCUCUCAUGGGGCUGUGGGGUGGGGAGAAGUUGACCCCCUUCAGGAAGCCGAUGGGCAAUGUCCUUGGACAAGUACCCGGCUUUCCUUAACUCUUUUACUUGCUCCUCCGUGACGGAGGAGGCCAUCCACUUGCCUCCCGCUCCAGACAUCGUAGGGGAAGGUUGAGGUGAGUACGGCGAGCUUAGGCGCUGGAGCUUGAGUGCGCAAGAGAUGGAUUGGCAGAGGAGGAAGAAGGCGUAAAGUGAAAACGGCGGAUUCUUAUCCCCUUAUAUGGUCGACUACGGUUAUGCGUCCCCACUUGCCUAAUAAAACUCGCUUGCCUCCCAAACGCUGUGUUAAACGGCACGGUUGGGUUACCCACGUCCGUAUUAAUGAGAAUCCCGCUAAAAGGGGUGCACGAUCUCUGCUUCGAUAAGACGUGCCAAGGAAACCGCCUCGUUAAACGUGCGGCGAUGCAACAGUAAAAUACUCCAUACAGAAAGCUUGGCCGCGAUGUUAUGAUACGUCGCGAGAUACGUCAGCAGAUUAGAUUUGUGUUAACAUUAUUCUCUAUAUGGCAAUACGUGGAAACUUAUUUUGCAGAGCCGGACGCUAUUUUUGGUGUUACUCGUCUUCUUGAAGAACUUGGAGGAGGAACCCGCCUUGCAAUGCCGAAGACAAUUCUCGCGCCGGACUCGUCAUUGAAGCCAGGUUCAGGGGCUACUGAGGGAGUCCUGGAUUAGGGGGUGUUCGGAUAGCCGGACUAUAUCUCCCGCCGGACUCCAGGACUAUGAAGAUACAAGACCGAAGACUCCGUCCCGUGUCCGGAAGGUUCUUUCCUUGGCGUAGAAGGCAAGCUAGGCGUGCGGAUAUUCAAGAUCUCCUCCCCAUGUAACCGACUCUGUGUAACCCUAACCCUGUCCAGUGUCUAUAUAAAUCGGAGGGUUUUAGUCCGUAGGACAACUUCAUCAUACAACAAUCAUACCAUAGGCUAGCUUCUAGGGUUUAGCCUCCUUGAUCUCGUGGUAGAUCUACUCUUGUACUACCCUUAUCAUCAAUAUUAAUCAAGCAGGAGUAGGGUUUUACCUCCAUCGAGAGGGCACGAAGCUGGGUAAAACAAAGUGUCCCCUGUCUCCUGUUACCAUCCAACCUUGACGCACAGUUCGGGACCCCCUACCCGAGAUCCGCCGGUUUUGACACCGACAGAGAUUAAACCUGCAUGUUUGCAAGAUGCUACUCCGCUAGGUGACCCGCCGAACUCUUGACAGUUACUCUUUCCAAUAAGUCCCUGAACUUGUCAAGGUUCAAACGGUGGCCUUCACGUGAGAGCCGGCUUACAGAGAGCUAGGAUAAACUCACCCAUUGUCGCAGUCUCGCCGCUAUGUGGCCGGUUUGUACUCUUACUAGUUACUAUUUUCAAUAAGACCUUGAACUGGUUAAGGUUAAAACAACGGAUUUACGUCACAUGAGAGCCGGCUUACGAGAUAAAAAUGAUUUUUUUUUCAAAAAAAAAACAGAACAGAGCUAGUCUCUUCUGGUCAUGUCUUCAAAGCCGACUUUUUAUACUCUAUCAUCAUACACAUAUAUCAUCAUGCAUUGCAUCAUACAUUGCAUCAUCAUAGCAUGCAUCAUAUAUGCAUGGAUAUACUGGUUUAUAUUGCAGGAAUCGGUUUUCAAACCGAGUUAUAUUAUUCAAAUCUUAAAUAGCUAACAUGGCUAGAUUUUCAUUCAACUAGUAUUGGAUGAUUGAGGUUUUCAAAGCCCCUUCAGAGUGAUGGCUAUUAUUUUUUCAUCCAAAAAUACCAACUCACAGUAGAGAGCAUGGUUCAAUAUUGACAUGCAAGGCGUUCAGCAGUAUCAUCCGGACAAUGGAUAUGGUUUUAUUUUACAAUGAAAGGAAUAGUCCCAGGUCGCUGCAGGCAUACGACCCGGCACUUGGGGGCUACAUUAUUCAAAUCAAGAUUACAUCAAGUAUGUAAGUCCCAUGUCGCUGCAAGCAUGCACCAUGGUACUUGGGGGCUAAUGCAAGUUGCUUUUCAAAUCAUCACAUUAUCAACAGACCUGGAUAUUUUAGGAAGAUGAGCCGGCCUUCUAUCUUUCUUCUAAGUCCCGGCCCAGUAUUAUCUUACUGAGCCGGCCCUUGGGGGCUACACUGGUUGAAGUUUUUAUGAGCAUAAGGCAAUUACAAGUCCCAGAUUGCUGCAAGCAAGACAACCCGGCACUUGGGGGCUACAUAUGUGAAACAUUCAGUUUAUGACUGGUGACUCAAAUGAACAACUCGGAUUUCUUCAAGGUUGCAGUAUUGAAGCAAGUCUUCAAGCUAUCACUACGUUCCCCUCUUAAGACUUGGGGGCUACAGGUAAUAUGGAUAUGAGAGAGGUAUGCCUUCAAAUUUUCAGUUAUGAGUGAACCAGGUCUCAUAUUUUUUGAUGAAGAAGUUUGCAAAGGUGAUCUCCUCCGGGAUAUUUAGACAACAUAACAUCAUAUGGAUUUUUUUAUCGAAGUAUGAAGUAUUGAAAGUUGGCACAACAUCAGAUGAAUUCUAUCAAAUCAAGGCAGUUGAAGAUAAUCAGGGUUAUUAUUUCUUUAAGAAUCCAAUGUCCGUUUAUUGACAUGACUCGGAUUCAGAAUUUUUCAGGAGCUGGUCAACUGGUAGUUUUUGAGUGAGCCGGUCCUUUUACAUAUUCUUAUUUUAAGAGUUUAGCAUGAAUAAGUUCAAAGCUAAACUGGAGGCUAACGUUGGGGAUACUAGAUGAUACCCCACGCGUUGCUGCGGAAACAAAUGCAAAUACACCUAUUUAUAGGAUUACAUGUAGAAAAUUAUAGAAAAAUUAGUACUAACAUGGAAAGAAUAUAAAGAAAAUACAUUUGCUAGCUGACUCGGGGAUUGCCACUGGCGCAAAAUUAUUCUCAUGUGUAAGAAGUCUCUAAUACAAAGGAAAUAACACUAAAGCAUCCGAACAAAAAAGUGGUUUGAAUACUUGUAAAAUUUGGCGCAAUGCUACAAUUUAUCUUGAUCCCUAGCACUCCAUAUGAAAAAUCAUCCUCAUAAUGUGAAAAAAAAUCAUUACUUAAGAGCAGUGACUGUAUAAGAGAAUAAUAUUCCAAUUAGCACUCUAUAUGAAAAAUCACCACAAUUAAUUUGGAACUAUAUUAAGCACAAAAUGGCUAUCUUUAAGUUUACAACUAUCAUAUACAAAAAAAGUGGGCCAACAAUAAUAUAUAUAUAUAUAUAUAUAUAUAUAUAUAUAUAUAUAUAUAUAUUCAUGUAAGUAUUAUGAAAAAACUAAGUGAAACACUAUAUCCUAAAACAUGGAGCGGCUGCAUUAUAUUGAACACUAAAUUUACAUAGAGGAUCUUCCAAAGAAACAGUGGAAAAAAGUCUCCAAAUUUGCAUUGAGCAUUCAAACAAAUUAGUGGGAAAGAAAAUUUUGACCUCAAUUGUGGGGUCUCACAAAUAAAUAAUGAAUGGGUCACCUUUGCCACAUAAGACAUGAUGAUGACAGACUUUGGCCAUAAAAGUUAAUUGUAUCUGCCUGUCAAAUAUCCCCACUUCACGGAUGCAAACUAAUCUUAUAUUACAAAACGAAUAGCAUAUCAAAGUACUAUAAGGUCCAAACAUUAAGCCUUAACCACAAUAUAAAUACAAAACUAUUUAUUUUUAAUUCAAAGCACUGAUCUUGGUUAUUUAUCUGAGCAAGAAAACAAUUUAUCUAUUAAUAUGUUCGCCACACUGCUAUCGACAAAUAGCAGUAAGGAAAAACAUCGAGGGAAGAACACGGUGCAUUUUGCCAAUGCACAACGUGAGCAGAGAAAACAAAAUCGCUUAGAGAAAAGGUCACGACGUAGAUGUCCACGAUAACAAUUUAGCAUCCCUUCAAAUUUCUGUUGGUAUAUAAUGACCUAUUGAGAAGAGCACUUCUAUCUAAGAACAUACUCCUAUUUGCUACCAUAUGUUCAAAUGAAAAGGCAACCCAGUGAAUUCAAUGCACGGACAUGUGCCUGGACAGGAGACUAUCAGAGGCGUGUGCGGCGUGGUAGCAUCCGAUGACGUAGACUGCGGUGUGGCUAGUGGGAAACAACUGCAAAGGAAUAAUAUGACCGACAUGCCACACAGAAGUAUGUCAACAGUGGUAUUCACCAUCUCGCAGAUGAAUGUAAGUGCAUCGAUGCUCACCUGGUAUGCUGAUGUGAUCAUCCUGAAGGUACACUCCCUAUGGAAAUCAUCGUUGCUGAUUUAGUCGGGCUUCUCGCUGCCCCCAACGCCUUUCGGAGCAGAGCAACGACACGUAAAGGACUCAGCGGCUGCCUUGCUCAUCGAUCUAGGAUGGCCGGACAAAGGAGAACGGCCCAGCCCGCGUCCGAAUACUCAUAGAAACAUCAAGAGGCGGUCCCAACACUCACAGAAAGAUCAAGAGGCGAGACGUAUGGGCAAGCAUGGCGGAGGAGGUACGGAUGAGAGCACCGGUGGGUGGCCGGCAAUGGAACGACGGACCAGCAGCUAACCUCCCAUCACUAAGAGAAAAUUUGGGGUCGAGGCGGACCGGACGGCCUGGCGGAGGAAGUCUGGAGGAGAGCAACAAUGCGCACAGGUCGACUCAGCUCUGUCUUGCUGGAAGAUCUGGGUGCUCGGCAAUUGAACCGCGGCCCGACCUGCGACCCAACAGCCAGGGUGUCGUCAGAGGCAAGGCAAAUCGACGGUCUUAUGAGAGGAUGGCAGCACCUAAAAGCAAAGGCGAUGCCCACCCUGUUAAAUCCAGCGAUUCUUCAUCAAUUGCAGGGUAACGGAGGGACCGUAAUGUGGCUGAUUAAUGCUGCAGUUUCAUCUGGCAUAUGCGAGGUUACGGUUGCGGCAGCAGAAGAGAUAGUGACCGGGAUGAGAGUCGCGACGCAGGGAAGAGAGAUGUGAGUGGGAACCUAACAAGCAUGGGCUACAGUCCACAUACCAUAUGUUGAUUUCGGUAGCCAGCCCAACAGCGACAGAUCCAACUCUAGCCCACGUACGAAACCUGAGCGGGGACAGUGCGAUCAAAGAAUUGAAUCGUUAUUUUCCACUUAGCGGUGGCAAGUCUCAGUAAAUUGCACAAAACAUGAUCAGACGGCUGCAAACUCUUGAACUCUUUUGCGUCAAUGGCUAUAACAAUCGGGAUGACGUGGCUCCACAAGGAUUCAGGAAAAUCAGCUAGUGGGGUGUCCCUAUUUAGAUAUACAAGAUUCCUCACGACCAAGACUCGGCUCAUAAGGAUAAGCCGCCCUAAGGUUUAAGUCAUUUUUGGGUUUAAGUCGACAGGACGUUAAGUCAUCCCAGAUAGUCUAUAACCCGGCAGACAGUUAUGACCCGGCAGAUGGUUAUGACCUGACAGACAGGUAUGACCCGGCAGAUGGUUAUGACCUGACAGACAGGUAUGACCCGGCAGACAGAGUCGCCUAGGGUGAAGAAACCCAAGACGUUAAGAAGCCCACGGUGAGAAGUCAGAAUAAUUUAAGUCUUAGUCCGACUUGGGCUCUACAUGUAACCCGCCCCUUCAACUUAUAUAAGGAGGGGCGGGGCGCCCCAAGAGGGUCAGGUUUUUCUCUAGACGUCUCAAUAGAUAAGUGUUAGACAAGAUCAAAGUAGAUGCUCUCGAGAUAGAGGUGGCGAAACCUCGCCCUUGUAACCGAGAUCGUCAUCAUCAUCAAUAUGAAUCAAGCAAGAUGUAGGCUUUUACCUCCACCGCGAGGGGCCAAACCUGGAUAAAAUCUCGCGUCUCUCGUCCCGCUCAACCCCUCUCAAGUUACAAAUUAGAUGUGUUGGCCUCAAGACUAAGUCCUUUUCACGAGGACAUCUGCCGUGACAAAUCCACGAUAGGGUGGAACAUAAUCUUCCCCCUCAUCAUCUUUCACCUUGCCCUUCUUCCUUGUUACAAACUAUGGAAACAACCUUUCAUCCUCAUCAUCACUUGGCCAAUCAUCUGGUAGUCCCUCUUCAGUAUAGGGGUCACCUGAAUCUCUUCUAUGAGAGGUACCUACAUGCCUAGGAACUUCUACAAUAGGUGUUCCUGGUGUCUGCAUGGAACUGCUGCCUCUACUAUGAGUUGUUGUUUUUCUGCCCCUUGAUUGGCUAGUCCUACCUUUACCUCUAGACCUAGACUGAGAUCUUGUUCCUCUGCUCUCUGGCUCUCCUCUCUGCCUUUGUAUGACACUGAUUUCUAGUUUGGCAGGGAAAAAUCAUGUAUUGCAAACAUGAUACCAAGCUCAUCAUCACACUGGACAGGGACCCAAGCUGGUUUGUCAAUGUCCCAGUACCCGAAUUCCACUGCAUCAUAUAGACCCCAUGGAUAUUGAGCACAUAUGGCAGAUCUAAACUGAAUAAAAGUCCAUUGAUUAUCAGCAACAAAAGGAAAAGAGAAUCCUGUAUUGGAUGCUUUUGUGCUAGCACUAGCUAGAAGUGUGGUUUCCAUUCUACAUUGCUGUUAUGUUGGAUGUAGAUGAUUUGUUAGUUUUUCUUGAGUGCAUAAUGUCUGUUGUGUUAAUCUUCAGGUAGAUGUGCAAGCUUUAAGAGAGAAAAUUAUUGUUGCAACUGUUGUCAAACAAGUGCAACAGAAUAAAACUACCAUUUGUGAAGGACUUCAUAGAAAAACAUGUAAGUGCAUUAUGCAUUAUGUUUCCUUCCUAAUUUUUGAAACUUGUGGAGUAAUUUCAUUUUCUUGCUCAUGUAGCUUCAACACUUGGAGUAAUUCAGGUUUUCUGUUCCAAAUUGUUUCAAGGUCUGGACAAGUUCGAGUAAUUGGAAACUGUAGCAUGGGAGAACUUGAAGUAACACAUCUUCCAAGGAAUAGGAAUUAUCUUUCAAAAAAUCCUAUUCCUCUAACUUUGUCACUUAUGCAUUCACUUUUCUUUCUAAUUUUUAUAAAUCAUAAUCAGUCAUGCUCACUUAAGAUCUGCUCAUCAUGUACCUUUGACACUGGAAGUAAUUCAGCUUUCUGUUCCAAAUUGUUACAAGGUCUGGACAAGUUGGAGUUCAUCAUGGCAAGCAAAAGAAGUACUUAAUGUAGCAUGGUAGUUCAUCAUGGCAAGCAAAAGAAGACGUUAAAGUAAUGGAUCACUACACAGUAACAUGAAACACUAUCUUACAAAUGUGGAAAACAAUUGAGAAUUUAGCAAGCAUUAAAGUAAUGCAUUACCGAAUGUUUACUAUCCAUGAAUAGUCAUUUUCAAUUGACUACUUUGAAACUAUCCAGGAAUUGAUUACAUUUUCUAUUGAGUGAAUGUUACUAUCAAGUAGAAACAGUUAGUAUCCAUUUUUUCUUCCCUGCCUUUUUUAUUGAUGAUCUUUGUCGUUUGAUGGAUACUGAGGAUUGUUUUCCCUAGGCCUAUACCAAAAAGAUUAACAAGAAAUGAGGAUGAAUUUUGAGAUUGUUUUUCUUUUUCAAGCAGUUACUUACUCUUGGAGUUGGAUACUCCUUGAUAUAUUCAGACUGAGAGCAACUCAACGAUUUUGCUGUAUAAUUAACUCAGUUUGAUCGACCCGUCCCUUUCCUGUGUAGCUCCUACUGCGAUCCACCCAUGCAUGUAUCGUGAUAACAGAGUAGAGCAGAGGUUUGAAUGAAUGAUCUAUCGUCCUAGCUACCGGUUGUCUGUACUGUAUUGUACUGCACUGUAGGUAUGAUGAGCACAACAGAGCAGAGGAGAGGAUGGUAGAGCUGAGGUCCAUCCAUCCAUCAUUCAUUCAUUCCUUCGCUGAACCUCUGCUUGCUGCUGCUGCAGCAGCACAUUAAACUCCUCCUUGCCAACAACAAUUUGGUUUCAUGAUGAUUUUAUUUCCGAAACAUUUUUAGAAAAAUUUGUGAUUAUUUUAAAAUCGACGGACAGUUUAAAAAUCCAGUGUUCUUUUCUAAGUCGAGUAGAAAACUGUAGUCGUUUUUUGUUUUGUUAUUAGGAGGCAGCGCGGACGAUGUCGAUGAGCAUCACUCUGUUGACGUUGUCUACCUACUUGAACCACCUACAAUCAAUCAGUCACAUUUCCAUUGCGCUUGCCACCUAAUAACUACUAGUGACUAGGCGCGGUACGUAUAUAAACAGGUACAAUCAAUCACGGGGCUCACACCACAUUCACUCUUUUAGAGAAGCAACAAAAAGCCAUGGCUAAGAUGAUAACUAUUCUCAUCUGUUUCAUCCUCUCCUCUACUACCUACUACUAGUACUCCUAUGAUGUAAUCGCUCCUCUGUCCUGUGCGGCUGUGCGUAUUGUGUUAUCACUUGUCAGACCUUAUUAAUAUACAUGAAAUUUUGUGUUGGAAAGAACCUGCUGCGUCCCGGACGCACUGGGGUUCCUGCCUUACAUGGAGGUGCUUGACCUCAGCAGCAACGUGCUGUCGGGCCACCUGCCGAGCACGCUGUCGGGCCUAUCCGGCAUCGAGGUGCUCAAUCAACAUCGCGCACAACCAGUUCACCGGCGAGCUGCCGGAGCUGGUGUGCGACCUGAGGCGGAUCACGAACCUCUCAGUCUCCUUCAACUUCUUUUCCGAUCAGCCGGGAUUGCGACCGGCUGGCGGGGCCGAGCGUCUUCGACUUUGCGGGCAACUGCGUCCCGGGGCGGGGCAUGCAACGGCCGCAGCCCGAGUGCGACGACGCGCCAGGGGACGUCGGGCUCAGCUGCCUGCGCAUCCCGGGGUCGCGCCCUGUUGCGUGCGCCGAGGCCGCGGUCUCCAUCCAUCGGCAUCGGCGUCACCUUCGGGGGCGCGCUGCCGUUUGGGAUGUCAGGCGGCGGCGCCGGUGUCACGGUCACCGUCCCCUGAUCGUACCAAGCGGGCCGGGCAUGUACUCUCUUGGCCGAGCGCCUGGAUCAUUAUGUGACGGUGGUAAUCGGUUGGUUUUUGGCUGGUUAAUCCGUCCUGACAUACAUUUUUGCAUGCCUACAUUAACCAUGCAGCUGGUAAGCGCAUGUAGUACUAGAGUUUUUUCUAAACCCGUAGUAAUCUGAAACCUAAUAUUUCAAUGCAUGAGCACCAAGUAAUUCAGCUUGUAGAAACCACAUUGUUUCUCGGUUAAGUUCGAAAAUAACCGAGCUGCCAAAGCGCUGUUUCUCAGUUAAGUUCGAAAAAUACCGAGCUGCCAAAGCGCAACAGGGCGAACCCGUGAUGCCUUUGCCCCAGCUGUGUCCUGAAAGCUCGGACGUGAAUACAGAAACAUAACUAGUGAAGUACCAGUAUAAGUCAUAUAUACAGUGCACCAAAUGUUCGGUGGUUUCAUGACUGGAGCAGCUUGUAAAUGUGUAAUGAUAGCAAUGCAGCAAUCGGAUAAAAAUAAUAAAAUAUUACUGCCACCAUCUCUUUUUUUCCAUCACACUUUGAUCUCAUAAUUCCACAUUAUCAGGUAUGUAUCUCUACUACUAAACUUCUUUAAACGCACUCCACAAAUAUACACGAACCCAUUACAACCGCAGGAUUAGGCCCAUUAAACUCAAUCCAACCGCUAGCCUUGAUCUAAUCCAUUUUCUAUGUGCAUUUAGCAAUUUACCUUGACUGACCGUACUCCGCCCCCAUUUUCUGUGUGCACUUAGUAAUUUACCUUGACUGACCGUACUCCGCCCGGCGUCCGCAACCUCUCUUCCGUGAUUAGCGCCCACCUCUCCACUCAAUCCACCGCAUAACAAACUCCGCGCCCGAGUCCUCGACCCCUAUAAUCACGCACGCAAGGCAACAACAAAAAGAAGAAACUAGCGGCCAUCAAGCAACGAAACAACCCAAAGGAUGAGGAGUCUUCGUUCUCGACCGCCGCUGAGAUGGAUUUCUUCAGGAAGGCCGUCGGGGUGCGGGAGUGGAGCCACGCUAUUGGUGAUGAACCGGAGCGCGCGGCGCUCGGCCCGCGACGGCGUGGCCCUUGUCAAGCAGCGACGGCGGUGUUAGCGUUAUUCCUAAACGUCCGAGCGGCGACGGCGGAUGACUAAUGGUUGUUGACGAUGGCAGGCGACGGCGGCGUGCUCUGUCCGGCGGGGCCGGGCGGCGCGUGUGGCAUCGCGGGGGAGGCGGGCCUGUAAUGAGGGUGGUCGAGGCGGUUCACAGUGGAACUCGGGCUCUGCGGACUGCGGGCAUGGCAUGGCCAUGAAGGCAGCGGGUCCUGGGCGUGCUUUGCGCGACGCGACGGGCAGCGGGUGGGACGCUGGGGCGAUGCCGGGAACGCGUAUAUGUGUGGCCAGGAGGCCGAGCUCGGCGCAUCACCUGCGCAGGCGCAUGGCAGCGGUAACUGAUAGCGCACUCAACCAGAGAACGGCGGCGGACAACGGUGUCGGCGACGGCGGCCAGCGCGCGAACCAGCGUGUCGUGACGACACGCGCGGCCAGCAUGGCCAGGGUGCCUUGCGGAGCAGCGGCUGCCCGACGAGUGGCGGCGGUGUGCGGGCGGUGGCCAGCGCGCAUGGGCGGCAAGCUUGGCGACAGCAUGUGUGUCAUGCGCAGGCCAGCUCAGCGUCAAGCACACGAGCACGAGGUGCACAUCCGACUGCUGCUACUUCACUACUGUAUUUUGUAGUUGUUGCUAUGCCGUGAGCGCGGUGCUGAGGAACGAUGUCAGCCUCGACGCAAUCAAAUGACUCCUGACUGCGGAGCAGUGCCGUCGAGAAGUCAAUGGUGAAGUGCACUUUAGGUACAAACGUCAGGUUUUAAUUGCACAACUAUAGAGUGGAGUAUUGCUAAUGGUAUAGUGUAUUUGUAUUAUCUGCAUUUUUAUUUGAAGGCAAUACUUUGUAAAGUUUUUCACUGCCCAUGUAUAUAUUUUCAACUUUGUCUAAUAAAAUCAAAGUUCCGAUUAUAUUUGGGCAGCCAAAACUGAGGUUUAUAGAGUACCCUGCUCAUGAGGCCAACUAUGUCAUGCUCUCCAACGUAUUCAUAUUGACGCAGAGAUGGAAGGAGAAGUUAGCAUCGGGUGUGAAAUGAGAUGAUAUAGAAAAUGCAAUGUUUUGAUUGCAUGCAACUUGUUUUCUUAUUUUUCAUCUAAUUUCCAGUCUUCUUUUCUAUUGCAAGAUAUGGCAUUUUCCUUCUCACCACUUCCCGUAUGAACAUAUUUGAAAACAAGCGGUGCUCUGAGUUGUUGAUAGGUAUUGUCAUUACUGCAUAAUAACAAGAUACGGUAUGUUCUCAUUUACUUGUAUUUGUUCUUCCAUACUAAGAGAGUUGUUGUCCACUAGAAUUCUUUGUGUUCUGUAAUUUAAAGUCUUGCCGUGGAAUAUGAGGUUUGAGUACCGUAUCUGUUGAACUGAAGUUAAUCCAGUUACAAAUAAUAAAGUAUUGAAUAAAUUAUCAUACACCAGGGCUCCAUGAGUGAAUAACAGAACAAUACAUUUGAUAAAAUGAAAAUGUUUAGUUUCGAUACCAAGCAGGAAAACAGCUAGGUUCCUGUUAUGAAAUGAAAAUGCUCUAUGGUUUCCACAUUUUCAUUUUUAUAUGUGAAUCUUAGGAAGUUUUCAUCUUAUAGUGUGAUGUACAUCCAUGUUAUGCAUUUGCACUAUCUCUCACUGAACUGGUACCUCCACAAUGACACCAUAGUACAAGUCACCUACUUAUGAACAACUCUGUCAUGGGUUCAUCUCCCAUGUUGAUUUGCUUUCCUUGAUGGUUGCAUGUUAGAACUCAAUGUUGCAAAAGAAGUUUUUCCCUAACAAAAUAUAUUUUUUGUUUAUGUGGAAAAACACCUUGCUGUAUAGAGAAAGUGGAGAAGCGAUAACUACCCUUGCCUGAAGGUGCUUUGUCUCAACCUGGCCAAUGCAUGGAAAUGGUUGAUUUUCUCUUGCAGUAACAUUGUAAAAUAUAUUAUUUCUAUUUUUCUUGUAUACAAGGAUCGAGCAUGGAGGUUUCAUUUCGACAUACGAGUGUUUGUGACAUUCCAAAUUUUGACAUCACUGUAUUUUUAUAAGUCCAACACCUGAUGAAGAUCAUCUUUUGACAGUUUUUGACAUCACCAACUUCUGACAGGUUUUAUAACCAACUUUUGACAUCACUAUAUAUUAUUUUAUCAUUGUAUAGCUUGUGCACAUUCGUAUCAGCACAUCUUGAACACGGGUGAAUAUGAACCCGCUUUUCAAAAAUGUAUUUUAAACACAUUUUGUAAUGUCAAAAAAUUUAAAACAAAAUGGUGUGCAUACAUGUUCGCAAAAAUAUGUCCAUGGGACAAAGUUUUAUAAAAAAAAGUCUUUUAUUUUGUCCUAGCAAAGAAGACAAAUUUUAGUGCUUCUAAAUAGCGUUUCGUGACACAAUGUUUUGUAUUUUUUGCACAGGCCACAAAAAAAAAA